Molecule: long non-coding RNA, 55465 nt
Filed under: Triticum aestivum (bread wheat)
Lineage: Eukaryota; Viridiplantae; Streptophyta; Magnoliopsida; Poales; Poaceae
Description: long non-coding RNA (TAES_LNC012247)
Source: RNAcentral
UUCAUCCAAGACUAGGCUUGACCAGCGGGUGGGAAGCGACUAGAGAAUAUGACGUCUUUACUCAACUAUUUGUAGAUGUCAAGGAAUUUGUAUAGUAAAUAUAUUAGCUUUUGUGAUCCACUUCUGGUUUAUGCCUGCUUUAUCAUGCCUUGUGUGACUAUAGGCCUCUGGUCUAUAGGCGCGCGGCGGCUGUCUCGCCUAGGCCCGGUCUCGGGGCGUGACUUGCUUCCUCCGUUUUUUUAGAUGCGAACGAGGUAACUUAAGUAUGUUCAACUUAAGUAUGUUCAGAAGAUGUCUUCAUCCAAGACUAGGCUUGACCAGCGGGUGGGAAGCGACUAGAGAAUAUGAUGUCUUUACUCAACUAUUUGUAGAUGUCAAGGAAUUUGUAUAGUAAAUAUAUUAGCUUUUGUGAUCCACUUCUGGUUUAUGCCUUCUUUAUCAUGCCUUGCGUGACUAUAGUCCUCCUUGUCUAUAGGCGCGCGGCGGCUGUCUCGCCUAGGCCCGGUCUCGGGGCGUGACAGUUAAGGCGUGAUUAAUUAAGCAUUAACCAUCAGUGGAUCACAAAAGCUCAUAUAUAUUGACGACAGAAAUUUCUUUACAUAUACAAAUAGACAAAAUACAUUAAAAUCUCUAGUCGUUUCCCACCCACUGGUCGAGCCUAUUCUUGGAUGACAUCUUCUGGGCAUACUUAAGUUACACCGACUGCAUCUAAGAAAUAGAGAAGACAAGGGUGAGUACGAUAAAUCAUACUCAGCAAGCAAAUACUUCACUAUUCAAUAAGGAGCAAUGGUAUGAUGGUGUAGAUCAACAGACGAACUGAAUUCAGAGGAUAACAAUGUAACAACCAUUGGAAUCAUAUUUUGAUGUAAAUGGACAAAAGAACAAAAUACCAGAUUUAGUAAAAACAACAAGGAAUCUAUUGGCGUCACACAUGACCGCAAGCUUCCCAACCCGGGAGUCACAGGGUGAAAUUUCACACUUUUACGCUCUUAAGAGGGGUACUCCGACGUCGACAGCCUCGACUAGAACCACACAGGUUCCAGAAGAGCAGAGCUCUUUUACCCACUAAGUCCCGGACACCUGUACCUACUUAUGUCGGUCGCUCCUACGGAUCCAUCACCGACACGUUCCCGAACAAGAUCCGACCUUAACGGAGAGCCCAGACAGUCCCAUACCUAAACUGUGACCGGUACAAUACGUUUGCAGUCGUGACACCAAUAUAGAUGGAUGUGUGUUUGAAUCAACAUUAGGACCACUGAAGUAUCGGUCAAAGACAAUACACUCAUGGCUUUUCAUGAGUUCCUCCAAAAUACUCUGAUUCCAUCAACAAAUGGAUUAUGAGGAAAACACAUCCCUCUUUCAAGGAUCAAUAGAGGAUCAACAAAGAUCAAGGUGCAAUGAUAUUACCAGAUAAUCAAGCAAGACAACAAUAAGGAGAGAUCAGGGAGUUUAGCAAAGCAGCUACUUGCCUCAGAUAAUAUGAUUUCUCCUUUAGAAUAAUACUCUGCAAGAAGAUGAAACUCCAUCAUCUUUGUAUAAAAUCUGACGACCGCGCAUAUACUAAUAUUCUUCUGACGUAUGGCUUUGUUCUUCCCUCCAUCAGCAUCUACACGAUCUAUAUAUCUUCAAACAUGGACGCAUGCAUACUUGUAUUCUUCAUCUCUCUUCUCUUCGCUCUCUCCGCUGGUAUGCUCUAUUUCUCUCAUGCUCUCUCCUAGUAUCUUCUCUUCGCUCUAUUUCUCUCAUGCUCUCACUCUUGGUGAUGAGGAUGUGCAAAACGAGUAGCAGUAGCUAUUUAUAGAUGGUGAGCCCAGAGUGAACUCAGCCGAGCUGUUCUUGAAGCACACAAUCAUCUAGACUCUACCUAUUACGUGGCAUGCAUGCCUUGGUCUACGUGGAGAACCUGGUAAAAGAUCUAAGCCGCAAUGGCCUUUGACCCUUGCCCCUUGACCCUUCGAACUGCUGCCCCUUUUGCUUGUGCAAAAGCCAAACAAACCUGACCACUAUACAAAAGCUCCACGUAGCAAUUUCUUUGUCCUAAAUAUCUAAGGAUGCUGCCAGCACAACCUAGCUUCAUCUAGUACCAGGCCACGUUGGCCCUCUCAUGCAGAGGAUUUUACUUAGCUUGUAAGGAUAGUACAUACGUGUGCAUUUUCAUCAUUACAUGCAUGCACAUCUUCUAGUAUUUGGCCAUCUUCUCAUUACUAGCUAUCCUGUACUAGCCACUAAUUUGUAUUAAUUUGCAUACUAAUGCCAUAACGUGAGUGCAUGGAUGCUAGUCUACGUGCACAUAUACAUAUUUACUUAGUGUGUAAUUAUAUCCAUCUAAUAUUUUAUGCAUGCAAAAAUUACAGCUCUAUUUUAAUUCUUUAAAACAGGAAUCUAGCAUAACUUAUUUGCCCAAUUAUUUUAUGUUAAACAGAUAACAGAAAUUUAAUACCCAACUUAAUUUAAAUUAAUAACCCAAAAAUAUGGGUUAUUACAUCUGCCACUUUAACUGUCACGCCCCGAGACCGGGCCUAGGCGAGACAGCCGCCGCGCGCCUAUAGACCAGGAGGACUAUAGUCACGCAAGGCGUGAUUAAUUAAGCAUUAACCAUCAGUGGAUCACAAAAGCUCAUAUAUAUUGACUACAUAAAUUUCUUUACAUAUACAAAUAGACAAAAUACAUUAAAAUCUCUAGUCGUUUCCCACCCACUGGUCCAGCCUAUUCUUGGAUGACAUCUUCUGGGCAUACUUAAGUUACACCGACUGCAUCUAAGAAAUAGAGGAGACAAGGGUGAGUACGAUAAAUCAUACUCAGCAAGCAAAUACUUCACUAUUCAAUAAGGAGCAAUGGUAUGAUGGUGUAGAUCAACAGACGAACUGAAUUCAGAGGAUAACAAUGUAACAACCAUUGGAAUCAUAUUUUGAUGUAAAUGGACAAAAGAACAAAAUACCAGAUUUAGUAAAAACAACAAGGAAUCUAUUGGCGUCACACAUGACCGCAAGCUUCCCAAUCCGGGAGUCACAGAGGUGAAAUUUCACACUUUUACGCUCUUAAGAGGGGUACUCCGACGUCGACAGCCUCGACUAGAACCACACAGGUUCCAGAAGAGCAGAGCUCUUUUACCCACUAAGUCCCGGACACCUGUACCUACUUAUGUCGGUCGCUCCUACGGAUCCAUCACCGACACGUUCCCGAACAAGAUCCGACCUUAACGGAGAGCCCAGACAGUCCCAUACCUAAACUGUGACCGGUACAAUACGUUUGCCGUCGUGACACCAAUAUAGAUGGAUGUGUGUUUGAAUCAACAUUAGGACCACUGAAGUAUCGGUCAAAGACAAUACACUCAUGGCUUUUCAUGAGUUCCUCCACAAUACUCUGAUUCCAUCAACAAAUGGAUUAUGAGAAAAACACAUACCUCUUUCAAGGAUCAAUAGAGGAUCAACAAAGAUCAAGGUGCAAUGAUAUUACCAGAUAAUCAAGCAAGACAACAAUAAGGAGAGAUCAGGGAGUUUAGCAAAGCAGCUACUUGCCUCAGAUAAUAUGAUUUCUCGUUUAGAAUAAUAUUCUGCAAGAAGAUGAAACUCCAUCAUCUUUGUAUAAAAUCUGACAAACGCGCAUAUACUAAUAUUCUUCUGACGUAUGGCUUCGUUCUUCCCUCCAUCAGCAUUUACACGAUCUAUAUAUCUUCAAACAUGGACGCAUGCAUACUUGUAUUCUUCAUCUCUCUUCUCUUCGCUCUCUCCGCUGGUAUGCUCUAUUUCUCUCAUGCUCUCUCCUAGUAUCUUCUCUUCGCUCUAUUUCUCUCAUGCUCUCACUCUUGGUGAUGAGGAUGUGCAAAACGAGUAGCAGCAGCUAUUUAUAGAUGGUGAGCCCAGAGUGAACUCAGCCGAGCUAUUCUUGAAGCACACGAUCAUCUAGACUCUACCUAUUACGUGGCAUGCAUGCCUUGGUCUACGUGGAGAACCUGGUAAAAGAUCUAAGCCGCAAUGGCCUUUGACCCUUGCCCCUUGACCCUUCGAACUGCUGCCCCUUUUGCUUGUGCAAAAGCCAAACAAACCUGACCACUAUACAAAACCUCCACGUAGCAAUUUCUUUGUCCUAAAUAUCGAAGGAUGCUGCCAGCACAACCUAGCUUCAUCUAGUACCAGGCCACGUUGGCCUCAUGCAGAGGAUUUUACUUAGCUUGUAAGGAUAGUACAUACGUGUGCAUUCUCAUCAUUACAUGCAUGCACAUCUUCUAGUAUUUGGCCAUCUUCUCAUUACUAGCUAUCCUGUACUAGCCACAAAUUUGUAUUAAUUUGCAUACUAAUGCCAUAACGUAGUGCAUGGAUGCUAGUCUACGUGCACAUAUACAUAUUUACUUAGUGUGUAAUUAUAUCCAUCUAAUAUUUUAUGCAUGCAAAAAUUACAGCUCUAUUUUAAUUCUUUAAAACAGGAAUCUAGUAUAACUUAUUUGCCCAAUUAUUUUAUGUUAAACAGAUAACAGAAAUUUAAUACCCAACUUAAUUUGAAUUAAUAACCCAAAGAUAUGGGUUAGUACAUCUGCCACUUUAACUGUCACGCCCCGAGACCGGGCCUAGGCGAGACAGCCGCCACGCGCCUAUAGACCAGGAGGACUAUAGUCACGCAAGGCGUGAUUAAUUAAGCAUUAACCAUCAGUGGAUCACAAAAGCUCAUAUAUAUUGACUACAGAAAUUUCUUUACAUAUACAAAUAGACAAAAUACAUUAAAAUCUCUAGUGGUUUUCCACCCACUGGUCCAGCCUAUUCUUGGAUGACAUCUUCUGGGCAUACUUAAGUUACACCGACUGCAUCUAAGAAACAGAGGAGACAAGGGUGAGUACGAUAAAUCAUACUCAGCAAGCAAAUACUUCACUAUUCAAUAAGGAGCAAUGGUAUGAUGGUGUAGAUCAACAGACGAAAUGAACAAGGAAAUUAUUGGCAUCACACAUGACCGCAAGCUUCCCAACCCGGGAGUCACAGGGGUGAAAGUUCACACUUUUACGCUCUUAAGAGGGGUACUCCGACGUCGACAGUCUCGACUAGAACCACACAGGUUCCAGAAGAGCAGAGCUCUUGUACCCACUAAGACCCGAACACCUGUACCUACUGAUGUCGAUCGCUCCUACGGAUCCAUCACCGACACGUUCCUGAACAAGGUCCGUCCUUAGCGGAGAACUCAGACAGUCCCAUACCUGAACUGUGACCGGUACAAUAUGUUUACCGUCGUGACACCAAUACAAAAUAGGAUAUGUGUUUGAAUCAACGGUAGAAUCACUGUAAUAUCAGUCAAAGACUAUACGCGUAUGACUUCUCACGAGUUCCUCCAAAAUACUCUGAUUCCAUCAACAAAUGGAAUACGAGGACAACACAUCCCUCUCUCAAGGAUCAAGAGAGGAUCAAUAAGGAUCAAGGUGCAACAAUAUUAACCGAUAAUCAAAGAAGACAACAAGCGAGAUCGGGGAGUUAGGGAAAGCAGCUACUUGCCUCAGGUAAUAUGAUUUCUCCUUUAGAAUAAUAUUUUGCAAGAAGAUGAAACUCCAUCAUCUUUAUAUAAAAUCUGACGAACACACAUAUACUCAUAUUUCUUCUGAUGUAUGGCUCGGCUCUUCCCUCCAGCAGCACCUAAACGCUCUAUUCUUCUUCAAAUGUGGAUGCAUGCAUGAAUUCUUCAUCUCUCUUCUUUAUCUUUCUGGUGUCUUUCUUUCUCUCAGGCUCUCUCCUCCAGUGUUUAUGUCUUUCUCUCAGAGCUGUGCUUUGAGCAGCGUGGCCCACAGCUAUUUAUAGGAGGCAAGCGCCCGUGCAAGUCUAAAAUAUCUUGGCCUGGCUCUCACUUAAGCACUAAGAAAUGGCCACGUAUAGGACACGUAAAAGCUGACUUCUAUUUUCUAUUUCUACGUUCCUCUAGUACUUGGCCACGUUGCAGCCCACGUAGGAAACUUGGGUUUCUAGCGAUGCAGCCGAUGCAUGCAUCUACCCACGUUUGCUGCCAUUCCUCUCCUGUACAUGUAGUUGAUUCACUAGAGUUUUCAAAACACCUGACACAUGCAUGCAUAUCCUCUAGAACCAAGCCACGUUGCCUCUUCCUCAUGAUUACAUACAUGCACCUAUUUGACUUGGAGCUCUAGUACUAGGAAAUAUGUACCGGUGUAUCAUUUGUACCUGGUCUAAUUUCAUCUGUUCAAAUGCCACGUUAACUCUCUUGUAAUUUUCUAGCUUAUAUGGCCAACUAGGUAGUAGUACUUCCCAUGCCUAUAUCACAACGUGAGUGCAUGAAUGCAAGUCUAUGCGCACAUACACCUACUCUUACAUAGUGUGUAAUUUUCUAAUAUUUAAUGCAUGCAAAAAUUUACAGCUCUAUCUUAAUUCUUUGAAUCAAGAAUUUAGCAUAACUUAGCAGAUAAUACAAAUUUAAUUACUUAUCUUAAUUUAAGUCAAUAACCCAAAAAUAUGGGUUAUUACAUCCUUCCCACCUUAUAAGAAUUUCGUCCCCGAAAUUAACACUAACAUCUAUGCUUUUUUUUAGUGAUCAAAUUCCCUCCCAUCAUAUUUGGAACAGUUUAUUUGAUGCAUGCUCAAUAAUUAAUUAUAAAAUAAUGCAAAAAAGAUUUGCAAUCUUUCUACAAUUCAUGGAUAUAUCUGCUAUAACAUAAGUUGGCAACACUAAACAUUUUAUUUGGUAAAUUCAUUAACAAAAAGGAUAGAUAGUGGUAUAGCAAUUGUCCCAUUACUAGAACAUUAUUACCGAUUGUCUUAAACAAGAAAAUCUACACAAAUAUUAAGUCAUGUAUUAAUCUAACAAGAUGUCUAUUUAUUUCCCAUGCAUCCUCAAAUUUCAUCAAUAAUGUGUACACUAUAUUUUUUAUUUGCCUGGAUAUCUGUUGAAACUAUUCAUGAGUACCAACACACAAACUAGUUGAGACAAGAUAUGAAAAUAAAAUCUUCAUAGCUGUCACACAACACAAAUAUAUAGUGACAAAAUUUAUUGCCAUGAACCAUUUUAGUUUAUAUGGUUCCUCAAGAGUCUAAUAAUGGUGUGAGCACUUCUUUUUUUCUACCAAUUGAUAAAAACAUCAUAUAAACUAAGUAAAUCGCCGAAUUUAGCUGCGAUUUAGGUUGCGUGCAUCCACAUAUCGCUUAUAUGGGUUAUCACCUAAAACCUAUUUAUAGAGCUCUAGAGCAUGAAAUAGGUUUUAGGUUGCGUUGGGAUAAAUGGGUAGAUCGCCGAGAUCGGGGAGUUAGGCAAAGCAGCUACUUGCCUCAGAUAAUAUGAUUUCUCCUUUAGAAUAAUAUUUGCAAGAAGAUGAAACUCUAUCAUCUUUGUAUAAAAUCUGACGAACACACAUAUACUCAUGUUUCUUCUGAUGUAUGGCUUGGCUCUUCCCUCCAGCAGCACCUAAACGCUCUAUUCUUCUUCAAAUGUGGAUGCAUGCAUGAAUUCUUCAUCUCUCUUCUUUAUCUUUCUGGUGUCUUUCUUUCUCUCAGGCUCUCUCCUCUAGUGUUUAUGUCUUUCUCUCAGAGUUGUGCUUUGAGCAGCGUGACCCACAACUAUUUAUAGGAGGCGAGCGCCCGUGCAAGUCUAAAAUAUCUUGGCAUGGCUCUUACUUAAGCACUAAGAAAUGGCCACGUAUAGGACACGUAAAAGCUGACUUCUAUUUUCUAUUUCUACGUUCCUCUAGUACUUGGCCACGUUGCAGCCCAGUAGGAAACUUGGGUUUCUAGAGUUAUUAGCAUAUUUUUUUUAGAGCUGUAGAGCAUGAACAGUGAGACAAACAAGGAAUAAUGAUACAUCUCUAUGCGGCUGUAGCUCCGAACUGUAUUUUAUAAUUAAUUAUUGAGCAUGCAUCAAAUAAACUGUUCCAAAUAUGAUGGGAGGGAAUUUGAUCACUAAAAAAAUAGCAUAGAUGUUAGUGUUGAAUUUUGGGGACGAAAUUCUUAUAAGGUGGGAAGGAUGUAAUAACCCAUAUUUUUGGGUUAUUGAUUUAAAUUAAGAUAAGUAAAUUUUUAUUAUUUUGUUAACAUAAAUAAUUGAGCGAAGAAGACAUGCUAGAUUAUUCUUGCAAGUAAUUAAAUAGAACUGUAAUUUUUGCAUGCGUAAAAUAUUAGAUGGAAAUGGACCAGGUACAAAUGAUAGAUUGGUAGAUAUUUCCGAGUACUAAAAUUCCAAGUCAACUAGGUGCAUGCAUGUCAUGAUGAGAAUGCACACGUAUGUAUUGUUCUUGCUAGCUAAGUAAAAAUCUAUGUGUACGUGGAGGUUGGCGUGGCAUGCAUGUAGUCUCUUGGACAGUCUAGUCCUAUACGUGGGCUCUUCCUAUGGUGCCAGGUUUAAUUAGGCCUUUGCACUAGCCGUAGGUGCAGCAGCCAAAUCAUUUUUUACCUAGCUUCAAGGGCCAAGGGUCAAGCGGCAAGAGUCACUGCGGCUGAGAUAUUUUAGCUAGUGACCGACUGUCAGCUCCUAUAAAUAGAACGCUCCUGCUGCUGCUCAAAGCACGACUCCGAGAGAGAAUUAGAUACUAGAGGGGUGAGUAUGAGAGAGAAAGAGGGUAAGAGAGAUGAAGAAUUCAUGCAUGCGCAUACAUGUUUGAAGUGAUAUGGAGAGAGGUGUCGAGCCAUCUGUCUAAAGAAGAAUAUUAGCAUAUGUAUGGUUCAUCAGAUUUUUAUACGAUGGAUUAUUACUUGCUGGCCGAAUAUUAUUCUAGAGUAGAAGUCUUAUUUUCUGAGGCAAGUAGCUACUUUACUAACUCUGAAAUCCGUUAUCUUCCUUUGAUUAUCUAAUUGUAUUGUUGCACCCUGAUCUUUAUUGAUCUCUGCUGAUCCUUGUUUCAAUUGAGAGAGGGACAUGUUACCCUCGUAAUCCAUUUGUUAAUGGAACCAGUGUGUUUUGAGAGGAACUCAUGUAAAGCCAUGAGCGUAUUGAUAUUCCAGUGAUCCUAUCGAUGAUUCAAACACAUAUCCUAUUUUGUAUUGGUGUCACGACGGCAAACGUAAUGUACCGGUCACAGUUCAGGUAUGGGACUGUCUGGGUUCUUCACUAAGGACGGACCUUGUUCGGGAACGUGUCGGUGAUGGAUCCGUAGGAGCGACCGACAUCAGUAGGUCCAGGUGUUUGGGUCUUAGUGGGUACAAGAGCUCUGCUCUUCUGAAACCUGUGUGUUUCUAGUCGAGACUGUCGAUGUCGGAGUACCCCUCUUAAGAGCGUAAAAGUGUGAAAUUUCACCCCUGUGACUCCCGGGUUGGGAAGCUUGCGGUCACGUGUGACGCCAAUACCUCCCUUGUUCGUCUUUGAUUAUACUAUUUAUUUUACACAUCUCCAGCAAAAUAUGUUCCAGUGAUUGUUACCUUGUUUAUCCUUUGGAUUCAGUUUGUUUGUUGAUCUACAUCAUUUUACCAUUGCUUUUGUUGAAUAAUGAAGUAUCUGCUUGCUGAGUAUGAUUUAUCGUACUCACCCUUGUCUCCUCCGUCUUUUUAGAUGCAGCCGAUGUAACUUAAGUAUGCCCAGAAGAUGUCAUCCAAGAUUAAGCUGGACCAGUGGGUAGGAAGCGACUAGAGAAUUUAAUGUAGUUUGCCUAUUUGUAAAUGUAAAGAAAUUUGUAAACCAAAUAUAUGAGAUUUUGUGAUCCACUUAGUCACGCAAGGCAUGAUAAAGCAGGCAUAAACCAGCAGUGGAUCACAAAAGCUAAUAUAUUUACUAUACAAAUUCCUUAACAUCUACAAAUAGUUGAGUAAAGACAUCAUAUUCUCUAGUCGCUUCCCACCCGCUGGUCAAGCCUAGUCUUGGAUGAAGACAUCUUCUGAACAUACUUAAGUUGAACAUACUUAAGUUACCUCGUUCGCAUCUAAAAAAAAGAGGAAGCAAGGGUGAGUACGACAAAUCAUACUCAGAAAGCAGAUACUUCACUAUUCAACAAGGAGCGAUGGUAUGAUGGUGUAGAUCAACAGACGAAAUGAACAAGGAAAUUAUUGGCAUCACACAUGACCGCAAGUUUCCCAACCCGGGAGUCACAGGGGUGAAAUUUCACACUUUUACGCUCUUAAGAGGGGUACUCCGACGUCGACAUUCUCGACUAGAACCACACAGGUUCCAGAAGAGCAGAGCUCUUGUACCCACUAAGACCCGAACACCUGGACCUAAUGAUGUCGAUCGCUCCUACGGAUCCAUCACCGACACGUUCCUGAACAAGGUCCGUCCUUAGCGGAGAACUCAGACAGUCCCAUACCUGAACUGUGACCGGUACAAUAUGUUUGCCGUCGUGACACCAAUACAAAAUAGGAUAUGUGUUUGAAUCAACGGUAGAAUCACUGUAAUAUCAGUCAAAGACAAUACGCGUAUGACUUCUCACGAGUUCCUCCAAAAUACUCUGAUUCCAUCAACAAAUGGAAUACGAGGACAACACAUCCCUCACUCAAGGAUCAAGAGAGGAUCAAUAAGGAUCAAGGUGCAACAAUAUUAACCGAUAAUCAAAGAAGACAACAAUAAAGUGAGGUCGGGGAGUUAGGCAAAGCAGCUACUUGCCUCAGAUAAUAUGAUUUCUCCUUUAGAAUAAUAUUUUGCAAGAAGAUGAAACUCCAUCAUCUUUGUAUAAAAUCUGACGAACACACAUAUACUCAUAUUUCUUCUGAUGUAUGGCUUGGCUCUUCCCUCCAGCAGCACCUAAACGCUCUAUUCUUCUUCAAAUGUGGAUGCAUGCAUGAAUUCUUCAUCUCUCUUCUUUAUCUUUCUGGUGUCUUUCUUUCUCUCAGGCUCUCUCCACCAGUGUUUAUGUCUUUCUCUCAGAGUUGUGCUUUGAGCAGCGUGACCCACAGCUAUUUAUAGGAGGCGAGCGCCCGUGCAAGUCUAAAAUAUCUUGGCCUGGCUCUUACUUAAGCACUAAGAAAUGGCCACGUAUAGGACACGUAAAAGCUGACUUCUAUUUUCUAUUUCUACGUUCCUCUAGUACUUGGCCACGUUGCAGCCCACGUAGGAAACAUGGGUUUCUAGCGAUGCAGCCGAUGCAUGCAUUUACUCACGUUUGCUUCCUUUCCUCUCCUGUACGUGUAGUUGAUUCACUACAGUUUUCAAAACAUCUGACACAUGCAUGCAUAUCCUCUAGAACCAAGCCACGUUGCCUCUUCCUCAUGAUUACAUACAUGCACCUAUUUGACUUGGAGCUCUAGUACUAGGAAAUAUCUACCGGUGUAUCAUUUGUACAUGGUCUAAUUUCAUCUGUUCAAAUGCCACGUUAACUCUCUUGUAAUUUUCUAGCUUAUAUGGCCAACUAGCUAGUAGUAUUUUCCAUGCCUAUAUCACAACGUGAGUACAUGAAUGCAAGUCUAUGCGCACAUACACCUAAUCUUACUUAGUGUGUAGUUUUCUAAUAUUUAAUGCAUGCAAAAAUUUACAGCUCUAUCUUAAUUCUUUGAAUCAAGAAUUUAGCAUAACUUAGCAGAUAAUACAAAUUUAAUUACUUAUCUUAAUUUAAGUCAAUAACCCAAAAAUAUGGGUUAUUACAUCCUUCCCACCUUAUAAGAAUUUCGUCCCCGAAAUUCAACACUAACAUCUAUGUUUUUUUUAGUGAUCAAAUUCCCUCCCAUCAUAUUUGGAACAGUUUAUUUGAUGCAUGCUCAAUAAUUAAUUAAAAAUAAUGCAAAAAAGGAUUUGCAAUCUUUCUACAGUUCAUGGAUAUAUCUGCUAUAACAUAAGUUGGCAACACUAAACAUUUUAUUUGGUAAAUUCAUUAACAAAAAGGAUAGAUAGUGGUAUAGCAAUUGUCCCAUUACUAGAACAAUAUCACCGGUUGUCUUAAACAAGAAAAUCUACACUAAUAACAAGUCAUGUAUUAAUCUAACAAGAUGUCUAUUUAUUUCCCAUUCAUCCUCAAAUUUCACCAAUAAUAUGUACGCUAUAUUAUUUAUUUGCAUGGAUAUCUGUCGACAAUAUUCGUGAGUAACAACACACAAACUAGUUGAGACAAGAUAUGGAAAUAAAAUUUUCAUACCUGUCACACAACACAAAUAUAUUCGGCGAUCUACCCGUUUAUCCCAACGCAACCUAAAACCUAGAGAUAUUUUAGAUCGCUAUAUUAGCUCUAGAGCAUAUAUAAUAUUUUUGAACUGGAGGAGAGAGCCCGAGAGAAAGAAAGACACCAGAAAGAUAAAGAAGAGAGAUGAAGAAUUCAUGCAUGCAUCCACAUUUGAAGAAGAAUAGAGCGUUUAGGUGCUGCUGGAGGGAAGAGUCGAGCCAUACAUCAGAAGAAAUAUGAGUAUAUGUGUGUUCGUCAGAUUUUAUACAAAGAUGAUGGAGUUUCAUCUUCUUGCAAAAUAUUAUUCUAAAGGAGAAAUCAUAUUAUCUGAGGCAAGUAGCUGCUUUGCCUAACUCCCCGAUCUCGCUUUAUUGUUGUCUUCUUUGAUUAUCGGUUAAUAUUGUUGCACCUUGAUCCUUAUUGAUCCUCUCUUGAUCCUUGAGAGAGGGAUGUGUUGUCCUCGUAUUCCAUUUGUUGAUGGAAUCAGAGUAUUUUGGAGGAACUCAUGAGAAGUCAUACGCGUAUUGUCUUUGACUGAUAUUAAAGUGAUUCUACCGUUGAUUCAAACACAUAUCCUAUUUUGUAUUGGUGUCACGACGGCAAACACCGACACGUUCCCAAACAAGGUUCGUCCUUAGCGGAGAACUCAGACAGUCCCAUACCUGAACUGUGACUGGUACAAUACGUUUGCCGUCAUGACACCAAUAUAGAUGGAUGUGUGUUUGAAUCAACGAUAGGACCAUUGAAGUAUCAGUCAAAGACAAUACACUCAUGACUUUUCAUGAGUUCCUCCAAAAUACUCUGAUUCCAUCAACAAAUAGAUUAUGAGGAAAACACAUCCCUCUUUCAAGGAUCAACAGAGGAUCAACAAAGAUCCAGGUGCAAUGAUAUUAGCAGAUAAUCAAGAAGGACAACAAUAAGGAGAGAUCAGGGAGUUUAGCAAAGCAGCUACUUGCCUCAGAUAAUAUGAUUUCUCCUUUAGAAUAAUAUUCUGCAAGAAGAUGAAGCUCCAUCAUCUUUGUAUAAAAUCUGACGAACGCGCAUAUACUAAUAAUCUUCUGACGUAUGGCUCUAGGUAUGUUAGUAACAAUAACAUAUGAGAACGUAUUUUGAACAAAGACCCACCUUGCUCUUCUGAUAAGCCUAUUUUUGAACUGGUUUGUGUGUGUCAGGUAUUUAUACCGAUGUAUCAAUAUUUUAGAUCCGUUCCAUCUAGCCUUUCUAGCUGUCCUAUUCCUUGUUUGUCUCACUGUUCAUGCCAUGCUCUAUAGCUAGUAGUACUUCUGAAGCUCUAUAAUGUGCACUGUUCAUUUGAUUCCUGUACAUCUCUUGAAGCUAGCAUGCAUACCACAGUACUACCUUUUGGUUUAUGAUCACGGUGGAGAAAUCCUUGGGACAUGCAUGUGAGCACAUGGAUUAAUGGCUCAUGCAUGGAUGGUUGGUUCUGUGAAAAGCCUAGUGAUAUUUAUUUUGGUCUUGCAUGUACUUCCUCUUGCUAAUCCUUGUCUAGUAAAUUUUAUAAAAUCUGGUAUCACGACGGGAAACGUAUUGUACCGGUCACAGUUCAGGUAUGGGACUGUCUGAGUUCUCUGCUAAAAACGCCACACGUUCGGAAGCGUGUCGAUGAUGGAUCCGUAGGAGCGAUCGACACUAGUAAGUCGAGUGGGCGGUUCUUGGGGGAGAGACCGGGCCUAGGCGAGACAGCCGCCGCGAGCCUAUAGACCAGAGGCCUAUAGUCACACAAGGCAUGAUAAAGCAGGCAUAAACCAGAAGUGGAUCACAAAAGCUAAUAUAUUUACUAUACAAAUUCCUUGACAUCUACAAAUAGUUGAGUAAAGACAUCAUAUUCUCUAGUCGCUUCCCACCCGCUGGUCAAGCCUAGUCUUGGAUGAAGACAUCUUCUGAACAUACUUAAGUUGAACAUACUUAAGUUACCUCGUUCGCAUCUAAAAAAACAUAGGAAGCAAGGGUGAGUACGACAAAUCAUACUCAGCAAGCAGAUACUUCACUAUUCAACAAGGAGCGAUGGUAUGAUGGUGUAGAUCAACAGACGAAAUGAACAAGGAAAUUAUUGGCAUCACACAUGACCGCAAGCUUCCCAACCCGGGAGUCACAGGGGUGAAAUUUCACACUUUUACGCUCUUAAGAGGGGUACUCCGACGUCGACAGUCUCGACUAGAACCACACAGGUUCCAGAAGAGCAGAUAAAUAAGGAGAGCUCCGUGAGUGGUAUCAGAGCUCUAGCUUUUUAGGUUGCGCUGCGAUAAACGGGUAGAUCGUCGAUUAUAUUUGUGACUAAUUAUUGUUAGAGAAAUGAUCUUUUUAUCAAUUGGUAGAAAAAAAGAAGUGCUUACACCAUUAUUAGACUCUUGAGGAACCAUAUAAACUAAAAUGGUUCAUGGCAAUAAAUUUUGUCACUAUAUAUUUGUGUUGUUUGACAAGUAUAAAGAAUUUAGUUUCAUAUCUUGUCUCAACUAGUUUGUGUGUUGUUACUCACGAAUAUUUUCGACAAAUAUGCAGGAAAAUAAAAAUAUGGCGUACGUAUUAUUGGUGAAAUUUGAGAAUGCAUGGGAAAUAAAUACAUUUUGUUAGAUUAAUUCAUGACUUGUUAUUUGUGUAGAUUUUCAUGUUUAAGACAACAGGUGAUAUUUAUCUAGUAACGGGAGAAUUACUAUAUCACCAUCUAUCCUCUUUUGUUAAUAACCUUACCAAAUAAAAUGAUUAGUGUUGCCAACUUAUGUUAUAGCAGAUAUAUCCAUAAAUUGUAGAAAAUAUUGCAAUUUUGUUUCAUUAUUUAUAAUUAAUUUUUGAGCAUGAAUUCAAUAAACUGUCCCAAAUAUUAUCAGAGAAUAUUUGACCACUAAAAAAAAUAUAGUGUGUAUGUUAGUGUUGAAUUUCGGGGACGAAAUUCUUACAAGGUGGGAAGGAUGUAAUAACCCAUAUUUUUGGGUUAUUAAUUUAAAUUAAGUUGGGUAUUAAAUUUCUGUUAUCUGUUUAACAUAAAAUAAUUGGGCAAAUAAGUUAUGCUAGAUUCCUGUUUCAAAGAAUUAAAAUAGAGCUGUAAUUUUUGCAUGCAUAAAAUAUUAGAUGGAUAUAAUUACACACUAAGUAAAUAUGUAUAUGUGCACGUAAACUAGCAUCCAUGCACUCACGUUAUGGCGUUAGUAUGCAAAUUAAUACAAAUUAGUGGCUAGUACAGGCUAGCUAGUAAUGAGAAGAUGGCCAAAUACUAGAAGAUGUGCAUGCAUGUAAUGAUGAGAAUGCACACGUAUGUACUAUCCUUACAAGCUAAGUAAAAUCCUCUGCAUGAGAGGGCCAACGUGGCCUGGUACUAGAUGAAGCUAGGUUGUGUUGGCAGCACCCUUAGAUAUUUAGGACAAUUUCAGCACCCUUAGAUAUUUAGGACAAAGAAAUUGCUACGUGGAGGUUUUGUAUAGUGGUCAGGUUUGUUUGGCUUUUGCACAAGCAAAAGGGCCAGCAGUUCGAAGGGUCAAGGGGCAAGGGUGAAAGGCCAUUGCGGCUUAGAUCUUUUACCAGGUUCUCCACGUAGACCAAGGCAUGCAUGCCACGUAAUAGGUAGAGUCCAGAUGAUCGUGUGCUUCAAGAACAGCUCAGCUGAGUUCACUCUGGGCUCACCAUCUAUAAAUAGCUGCUGCUACUCGUUUUGCACAUCCUCAUCACCAAGAGUGAGAGCAUGAGAGAAAUAGAGCGAAGAGAAGAUACUAGGAGAGAGCAUGAGAGAAACAGAGCAUACCAGCGGAGAGAGCGAAGAGAAGAGAGAUGAAGAAUACAAGUAUGCAUGCGUCCAUGUUUGAGGAUAUAUAGAUCGUGUAGAUGCUGAUGGAGGGAAGAACAAAGCCAUACGUCAGAAGAAUAUUAGUAUAUGCGCGUUCGUCAGAUUUUAUACAAAGAUGAUGGAGUUUCAUCUUCUUGCAGAAUAUUAUUCUAAAGGAGAAAUCAUAUUAUCCGAGGCAAGUAGCUGCUUUGCUAAAUUUCCUGAUCUCUCCUUAUUGUUGUCUUGCUUGAUUAUCUGGUAAUAUCAUUGCACCUUGAUAUUUGUUGAUCCUCUGUUGAUCCUUGAAAGAGGGAUGUGUUUUCCUCAUAAUCCAUUUGUUGAUGGAAUCAGAGUAUUUUGGAGGAACUCAUGAAAAGCCAUGAGUGUAUUGUCUUUGACCGAUACUUCAGUGGUCCUAAUGUUGAUUCAAACACACAUCCAUCUAUAUUGGUGUCACGACGGCAAACUUAUUGUACCGGUCACGGUUCAGGUAUGGGACUGUCUGGGCUCUCCAUUAAGGUCGGAUCUUGUUCGGGAACGUGUCGGUGAUGGAUCCGUAGGAGCGACCGACAUAAGUAGGUACAGGUGUCCGGGUCUUAGUGGGUAAAAGAGCUCUGCUCUUCUGGAACCUGUGUGGUUCUAGUCGAGGCUGUCGACGUCGGAGUACCCCUCUUAAGAGCGUAAAAGUGUGAAAUUUCACCCCUGUGACUCCCGGGUUGGGAAGCUUGCGGUCAUGUGUGACGCCAAUAGAUUCCUUGCUAUUUUUACUAAAUCUGGUAUUUUGUUCUUUUGUCCAUUUACAUCAAAAUACGAUUCCAAUGGUUGUUACAUUGUUAUCCUUUGAAUUCAGUUCGUCUGUUGAUCUACACCAUCAUACCAUUGCUCCUUAUUGAGUAGUGAAGUAUUUGCUUGCUGAGUAUGAUUUAUCGUACUCACCCUUGUCUCCUCCGUCUUUUUAGAUGCAGCCGAUGUAACUUAAGUAUGCCCAGAAGAUGUCAUCCAAGAAUAGGCUGGACCAGUGGGUGGGAAACGACUAGAGAUUUUAAUGUAUUUUGUCUAUUUGUAUAUGUAAAGAAAUUUCUGUAGUCAAUAUAUAUGAGCUUUUGUGAUCCACUGAUGGUUAAUGCUUAAUUAAUCACGCCUUGCGUGACUAUAGUCCUCCUGGUCUAUAGGCGCGCGGCGGCUGUCUCGCCUAGGCCCGGUCUCGGGGCCAAUGCUCCUGCUGCUGCUCAGAGCACAACUCCGAGAGAGAAUUAGAUACGAGAGGGGAGAGCAUGAGAGAGAAAGAGGGUAAGAGAGAUGAAGAAUUCAUGCAUGCGCAUACAUGUUUGAAGUGCUAUGGAGAGAGGUGUCGAGGCAUUCGUCUAAAGAAGAAUAUUAGCAUAUGUAUGGUUCAUCAGAUUUUAUACGAUGGGGUAUUACUUGCUGGCCGAAUAUUAUUCUAGAGGAGAAGUCUUAUUUUCUGAGGCAAGUAGCUACUUUACUAACCCUCAAAUGCGUUAUGUUCCUUUGAUUAUCUGAUUGUAUUGUUGAACCUUGAUCUUUAUUGAUCCUCUCUUGAUCCUUGAGAGAGGGAUGUGUUGUCCUCGUAUUCCAUUUGUUGAUGGAAUCAGAGUAUUUUGGAGGUACUCGUGAGAAGUCAUACGCGUAUUGUCUUUGACUGAUAUUACAGUGAUUCUACCGUUGAUUCAAAAACAUAUCCUAUUUUGUAUUGGUGUCACAACGGCAAACGUAAUAUACCGGUCACAGUUCAGGUAUGGGACUGUCUGGGUUCUUCACUAAGGACGGACCUUGUUCGGGAACAUGUCGGUGAUGGAUCCGUAGGAGCGACCGACAUCAGUAGGUCCAGGUGUUUGGGUCUUAGUGGGUACAAGAGCUCUGCUCUUCUGGAACCUGUGUGGUUCUAGUCGAGACUGUCGACGUCGGAGUACCCCUCUUAAGAGCGUAAAAGUGUGAAAUUUCACCCCUGUGACUCCCGGGUUGGGAAGCUUGCGGUCACGUGUGAUGCCAAUACCUCCCUUGUUCGUCUUUGAUUAUACUAUUUAUUUUACACAUCUCCAGCAAAAUAUGUUCCAGUGAUUGUUACCUUGUUUAUCCUUUGGAUUCAGUUCGUUUGUUGAUCUACAACAUUUUACCAUUGCUUUUGUUGAAUAAUGAAGUAUCUGCUUGCUGAGUAUGAUUUAUCGUACUCACCCUUGUCUCCUCCGUCUUUUUAGAUGCAGCCGAUGUAACUUAAGUAUGCCCAGAAGAUGUCAUCCAAUAUUAGGUUGGACCAGUGGGUAGGAAGUGACUAGAGAAUUUAAUGUAGUUUGCCUAUUUGUAAAUGUAAAGAAAUUUGUAAACCAAAUAUAUGAGAUUUUGUGAUCCACUGCUGGUUUAUGCCUGCUUUAUCAUGCCUUGCGUGACAAUAGGCCUCUGGUCUAUAGGCGCGCGGCGGCUGUCUCGCCUAGGCCCGGUCUCGGGGCAUGACAGUUAAAGUGAUAUCAGAGCUCUAGGUUUUUAGGUUGCACUGGGAUAAAGGGGUAGAUCGUCGAAUAUAUUUGUGUUGUGUGACAGCUAUGAAGAUUUUAUUUUCAUAUCUUGUCUCAACUAGUUUGUGUGUUGGUACUCAUGAAUAGUUUCAACAGAUAUCCAGGCAAAUAAAAAGAAUAGUGUACACAUUAUUGAUGAAAUUUGAGGAUGCAUGGAAAUAAAUAGACAUCUUGUUAGAUUAAUACAUGACUUAAUAUUUGUGUAGAUUUUCUUGUUUAAGACAACCGGUAAUAAUGUUCUAGUAAUGGGACAAUUGCUAUACCACUAUCUAUCCUUUUUGUUAAUGAAUUUACCAAAUAAAAUGUUUAGUGUUGCCAACUUAUGUUAUAGCAGAUAUAUCCAUGAAUUGUAGAAAGAUUGCAAAUCUUUUUUGCAUUAUUUUUAAUUAAUUAUUGAGCAUGCAUCAAAUAAACUGUUCCAAAUAUGAUGGGAUGGAAUUUGAUCACUAAAAAAACAUAGAUGUUAGUGUUGAAUUUCGGGGACGAAAUUCUUAUAAGGUGGGAAGGAUGUAAUAACCCAUAUUUUUGGGUUAUUGAUUUAAGUUAAGAUAAGUAAAUUUUUAUUAUUUUGUUAACAUAAAUAAUUGAGCGAAGAAGACAUGCUAGAUUAUUGUUGCAAGUAAUUAAAUAGAACUGUAAUUUUUGCAUGCGUAAAAUAUUAGAUGGAAAUGGACCAGGUACAAAUGAUAGAUUGGUAGAUAUUUCCAAGUACUAGAAUUCCAAGUCAACUAGGUGCAUGCAUGUCAUGAUGAGAAUGCACACGUAUGUACUGUUCUUGCUAGCUAAGUAAAAAAUCUAUGUGUACGUGGAGGUUGGCGUGGCAUGCAUGUAGUCUCUUGGACAUUCUAGUCCUAUACGUGGGCUCUUCCUAUGGUGCCAGGUUUGAUUAGGCCUUUGCACUAGAUGUAGGGGCAGCAGCCAAAUCAUUUUUUACCUAGCUUCAAGGGCCAAGGGUCAAGCGGCAAGAGUCACUGCGGCUGAGAUAUUUUAGCUAGUGACCGACUGUCAGCUCCUAUAAAUAGAACGCUCCUGCUGCUGCUCAAAGCACAACUCCGAGAGAGAAUUAGAUACUAGAGGGGAGAGUAUGAGAGAGAAAGAGGGUAAGAGAGAUAAAGAAUGCAUGCAUGCGCAUACAUGUUUGAAGUGCUAUGGAGAGAGGUGUCGAGCCAUCUGUCUAAAAAAGAAUAUUAGCAUAUGUAUGGUUCAUCAGAUUUUUAUACGACGGGGUAUUACUUGCUGGCCGAAUAUUAUUCUAGAGGAGAAGUCUUAUUUUCUGAGGCAAGUAGCUACUUUACUAACUCUCAAAUCCGUUAUCUUCCUUUGAUUAUCUGAUUGUAUUGUUGCACCUUGAUCCUUAUUGAUCCUCUCUUGAUCCUUGAGAGAGGGAUGUGUUGUCCUCGUAUUCCAUUUGUUGAUGGAAUCAGAGUAUUUUGGAGGAACUCGUGAGAAGUCAUACGCGUAUUGUCUUUGAUUGAUAUUACUGUGAUUCUACUGUUGAUUCAAACACAUAUCCUAUUUUGUAUUGGUGUCACGACGGCAAACAUAUUGUACCGAUCACAUUUCAGUUAUGGGACUGUCUGAGUUCUCCGCUAAGGACGGACCUUGUUCAGGAACGUGUCGAUGAUGGAUCCGUAGGAGCGAUCGACAUCAGUAGGUCCAGGUGUUCGGGUCUUAGUGGGUACAAGAGCUCUGCUCUUCUGGAACCUGUGUGGUUCUAGUCGAGACUGUCGACGUCGGAGUACCCCUCUUAAGAGCGUAAAAGUGUGAAAUUUCACCCCUGUGACUCCCGGGUUGGAAAGCUUGCGGUCAUGUUUGAUGCCAAUAAUUUCCUUGUUCAUUUCGUCUGUUGAUCUACACCAUCAUACCAUCGCUCCUUGUUGAAUAGUGAAGUAUCUGCUUGCUGAGUAUGAUUUGUCGUACUCACCCUUGCUUCCUUAUUUUUUUUAGAUGCGAACGAUGUAACUUAAGUAUGUUCAGAAGAUGUCUUCAUCCAAGACUAGGCUUGACCAGCGGGUGGGAAGCGACUAGAGAAUAUGAUGUCUUUACUCAACUAUUUGUAGAUGUCAAGGAAUUUGUAUAGCAAAUAUAUUAGCUUUUGUGAUCCACUUCUGGUCUAUGCCUGCUUUAUCAUGCCUUGCGUGACUAUAGGCCUCUGGUCUAUAGGCUCGCGGCGGCUGUCUCGCCUAGGCCCGGUCUCGGGGCAUGACAAUUAAAGUGCAUAUUUUGUAGAACGUAAUGUAUCGGUCAAAGUUCAGGUAUGGGACUGUCUGAGUUCUCCGCUAAGGACGGACCUUGUUCAGGAACGUGUCGGUGAUGGAUCCGUAGGAGCGAUCGACAUCAGUAGGUCCAGGUGCAACAAUAAAAUCAGAUAAUCAAAGGAAGAUAACGGAUUUGAGAGUUAGUAAAGUAGCUACUUGCCUCAGAAAAUAAGACUUCUCCUCUAGAAUAAUAUUCGGCCAGCAAGUAAUACCCCAUCGUAUAAAAAUCUGAUGAACCAUACAUAUGCUAAUAUUCUUCUUUAGACAGAUGGCUCGACACCUCUCUCCAUAGCACUUCAAACAUAUAUGCGCAUGCAUGAAUUCUUCAUCUCUCUUACCCUCUUUCUCUCUCAUACUCUCCUCUCUAGUAUCUAAUUCUCUCUCGGAGUUGUGCUUUGAGCAGCAGCAGGAGCGUUCUAUUUAUAGGAGCUGACAGCCGGUCACUAGCUAAAAUAUCUCAGCCGCAGUGACUCUUGCCGCUUGACCCUUGGCCCUUGAAGCUAGGUAAAAAAUGAUUUGGCUGCUGCCCCUACAGCUAGUGCAAAGGCCUAAUCAAACCUGGCACCAUAGGAAGAGCCCACGUAUAAGACUAGAAUGUCCAAGAGACUACAUGCAUGCCACGCCAACCUCCACGUACACAUAGGUUUUUACUUAGCUAGCAAGAACAGUACAUACAUGUGCAUUCUCAUCAUGACAUGCAUGCACCUAGUUGACUUGGAAUUCUAGUACUCGGAAAUAUCUACCAAUCUAUCAUUUGUACCUGGUCCAUUUCCAUCUAAUAUUUUACGCAUGCAAAAAUUACAGUUCUAUUUAAUUACUUGCAACAAUAAUCUAGCAUGUCUUCUUCGUUCAAUUAUUUAUGUUAACAAAAUAAUAAAUUUACUUAUCUUAAUUUAAAUCAAUAACCUAAAAAUAUGGGUUAUUACAUCCUUCCCACCUUAUAAGAAUUUCGUCCCCAAAAUUAAACACUAACAUCUAUGCUAUUUUUUUUAGUGAUCAAAUUCCCUCCCAUCAUAUUUGGAACAAUUUAUUUGAUGCAUGCUCAAUAAUUAAUUAUAAAAUAAUGCAAAAAAGAUUUGCAAUCUUUCUACAAUUCAUGGAUAUAUCUGCUAUAACAUAAGUUGGCAACACUAAACAUUUUAUUUGGUAAAUUCAUUAACAAAAAGGAUAGAUAGUGGUAUAGCAAUUGUCCCAUUACUAGAACAUUAUUACCGGUUGUCUUAAACAAGAAAAUCUACACAAAUAUUAAGUCAUGUAUUAAUCUAACAAGAUGUCUAUUUAUUUCCCAUGCAUCCUCAAAUUUCAUCAAUAAUGUGUACACUAUAUUUUUUAUUUGCCUGGAUAUCUGGUGAAACUAUUCAUGAGCACCAACACACAAACUAGUUGAGACAAGAUAUGAAAAUAAAAUCUUCAUAGCUGUCACACAACACAAAUAUAUUCGACGAUCUACCCCUUUAUCCCAGCGCAACCUAAAAACCUAGAGCUCUGGUAAACAGUUCCAUCUAGAGUCCAUUGCUUUUGUUGAAUAAUGAAGUAUCUGCUUGCUGAGUAUGAUUUAUCGUACUCACCCUUGUCUCCUCCGUCUUUUUAGAUGCAGCCGAUGUAACUUAAGUAUGCCCAGAACAUGUCAUCCAAGAUUAGGCUGGACCAGUGGGUAGGAAGCGACUAGAGAAUUUAAUGUAGUUUGCCUAUUAGUAAAUGUAAAGAAAUUUGUAAACCAAAUAUAUGAGAUUUUGUGAUCCACUGCUGGUUUACAAUGUAACAACCAUAGAAAUAACAAACAAGGAAACGAACUGAUAACCCUCCUUCUGCACACAUAUACUCAUAUUUUAGUUUAAGAAUUCAUGCAUGCAUCCACAUUUGAAGAAGAAUAGAGCGUUUAGGUGCUGCUGGAGGGAAGAGCCAAGCCAUACAUCAGAAGAAAUAUGAGUAUAUGUGUGUUCGUCAGAUUUUAUACAAAGAUGAUGGAGUUUCAUCUUCUUGCAAAAUAUUAUUCUAAAGAAGAAAUCAUAUUAUCUGAGGCAAGUAGCUGCUUUGCCUAACUCCCCGAUCUCGCUUUAUUGUUGUCUUCUUUGGUUAUCGGUUAAUAUUGUUGCACCUUGAUCCUUAUUGAUCCUCUCUUGAUCCUUGAGAGAGGGAUGUGUUGUCCUCGUAUUCCAUUUGUUGAUGGAAUCAGAGUAUUUUGGAGGAACUCGUGAGAAGUCAUACGCGUAUUGUCUUUGACUGAUAUUACAGUGAUUCUACCAUUGAUUCAAACACAUAUCCUAUUUUGUAUUGGUGUCACGACGGCAAACAUAUUGUACCGGUCACAGUUCAGUUAUGGGACUGUCUGAGUUCUCCUCUAAGGACGGACCUUGUUCAGGAACGUGUCGGCGAUGGAUCCGUAGGAGCGAUCGACAUCAGUAGGUCCAGGUGUUUGGGUCUUAGUGGGUACAAGAGCUCUGCUCUUCUGGAACCUGUGUGGUUCUAGUCGAGACUGUCGACGUCGGAAUACCCCUCUUAAGAGUGUAAAAGUGUGAAAUUUCACCCCUGUGACUCCCGGGUUGGGAAGCUUGCGGUCAUGUGUCAUGCCAAUAAUUUCCUUGUUCAUUUCGUCUAUUGAUCUACACCAUCAUACCAUCGCUCCUUGUUGAAUAGUGAAGUAUCUGCUUGCUGAGUAUGAUUUGUCGUACUCACCCUUGCUUCCUCUGUUUUUUUAGAUGCGAACGAGGUAACUUAAGUAUGUUCAGAAGAUGUCUUCAUCCAAGACUAGGCUUGACCAGCGGGUGGGAAGUGACUAGAGAAUAUGAUGUCUUUACUCAACUAUUUGUAGAUGUCAAGGAAUUUGUAUAGUAAAUAUGUUAGCUUUUGUGAUCCACUUCUGGUUUAUGCCUGCUUUAUCAUGCCUUGCGUGACUAUAGGCCUCUGGUCUAUAGGCUUGCGGCGGCUGUCUCGCCUAGGGCCGGUCUCGGGGCGUGACAGUUAAAGUGGUAUCAGAGCUCUAGCUUUUUAGGUUGCGCUGCGAUAAACGGGUAGAUCGCCGAAUAUAUUUGUGUUGUGUGACAGGUAUGAAAAUUUUAUUCUCAUAUCUUGUCUCAACUAGUUUGUGUGUUGUUACUCACGAAUAUUGUCGACAGAUAUCCAUGCAAGUAAAUAAUAUAGCAUACAUAUUAUUGGUGAAAUUUGAGGAUGAAUGGGAAAUAAAUACACAUCUUGUUAGAUUAAUACAUGACUUGUUAUUUGUGUAGGUUUUCUUGUUUAAGACAACCGGUGAUAUUGUUCUACUAAUGGGACAAUUGCUAUACCACUAUCUAUCCUUUUUGUUAAUGAAUUUACCAAAUAAAAUGUUUAGUGUUGCCAACUUAUGUUAUAGCAGAUAUAUCCAUGAAUUGUAGAAAGAUUGCAAAACCUUUUUUGCAUUAUUUUUAAUUAAUUAUUGAGCAUGCAUCAAACAAACUGUUCCAAAUAUGAUGGGAGGGAAUUUGAUCACUAAAAAAAACAUAGAUGUUAGUGUUGAAUUUCGGGGACAAAAUUCUUAUAAGGUGGGUAGGAUGUAAUAACCCAUAUUUUUGGGUUAUUGAUUUAAAUUAAGAUAAGUAAUUAAAUUUGUAUUAUCUGCUAAGUUAUGCUAAAUUCUUGAUUCAAAGAAUUAAGAUAGAGCUGUAAAUUUUUGCGUUUGUCAAAAUUAUUGUUCAUGAGUAUAUUUGUUGAAACAAUAAUUAGUAACAAUAAUGAUGUCCUAUUAGCAUACCAGCCGCAUAUAGAGCGGGCCCUGUCUACCUAGAAAGGUACUACUAACUCUAGUGCAGAAGGAGCAGCAACACCACAUAGAGAUGACACAACUAAACCAGUAUCAUGAGGCUUGCCGGCAGCAUGAGUUGGAGUAUCUUGAGCAAGAACAUGAUGACUGUGUUUAUGAGAUCAAGCAUGACCUCAAUCUCCAGAUAGAGGACAGGGAUCGUUGGCUCGAAAUAGAAGAACGCAAGAGUAAGAAACUGAAGCUGGAGCGUGAUCAGUUGGAGGAGUUGACCAACAAGCAGGAGAGCAAAAUCAUGGAGCUAAUGACAGAGAACAGAAGCCUCCGUGAGAAGCUGGCGGAAAAGCUACGGGCUGGCGGAAAAGCUACAGGCGCAUGAAUAGGAUGCGAACAGUGGCACUUGGAGAUGUGAAGCAAUUGUUCCUAGCUUAUAAAUAAAUGGUUGUAGUAGUAUUGUUUGUAUAUAACCUGCUAGGAACUGUUCUGGUAGUAGCCUUUUGACUAGCUAGCACUAGCUUUUGUUGACAACUCUAGUAGUAUGGGUGUCUAUAGUAGAGUGGUUGAAGGGAAACGUGGAUGGCAGCAACACAUCUAGUAGACAUGAUGUGUAAUUUUGAUUGUACUACUGCUUUCCUCUUUAUUAAUCAGCUACCUGGUAUAUAUGUAUAUGAUGCAUGCUCUAAUGUUGACAGCUUUAUUUAUUUCUUCCUCUAGUAUUAUAGAUGGCUAGUCACAAUGGAGAUUUCUCAGCAUCACACUCCGGCGAUGGCCGGAAUGCACUAGCAGCUGCAGCAGAGCAACCACUUCCAAAUGAGUUGCUUAUAAAUAUUUUGCAACGUCAAGAACAAACCCAAAUGAAGCAGACUGAAAUUCUGGAAUAUAUAGUACAACAGUCAACUAAAGGAAAGGAGUCGUUCGAUGGAGACAAACAGGGCGCAUUACGUGAGUUUCGUCGACUUAAGCCUCCUGUUUUCCAAGGUAGUGCAAACCCAAUUGAGGCCGAGGACUGGCUAACAGAAAUAGAGAAAAGUUUUGAUGCCAUGCAUUGCCCUGAUGAAGAGAAAGUUACAUUAGCCACGUUUACGCUUCAAGGUGGGGCAUUUGAUUGGUGGACAGUGCAUAAAAAGAAGUAUCCCGAGGGCUAUCUAUUCACAUGGGAAUCAUUUAAGGAAGAGUUCUACAGAAAGUAUUUUCCGGAGAGCGUACAAAGGAAAAUGGAGCUAUCAUUUUUACAGUUAAAACAUGACCAGAAAUCUGUCGUAGAAUAUGAAAUAGAAUUUUCUAGACUUGCUCGUUAUGCCUCUGUUUAUGUCCAAAAUGAUGAAGCUAAAGCUCGGCAUUUCGCGCAAGGACUUCGCCAACCAAUGAAGUCUCGAGUGGAGGUGUUCGAGCUCAAAUCCUUUCGAGAUGUUGCUAACAAGGCAUUAAUUGUAGAACAAGCAUAUGUGGAAGAGCAAGAUGAAGUGGAGCAGUAGCGUAAGAGGAUCAAGGUUGACCAUGGAAAUCAAGGGAAUAUACAGAAAAAGAUGCAGUAGAAUUGGCGUCCGAACAACCGCCCAGUAACCCAGCCUAGACGAAAUAACUGUGUUAUUUGUCAUGGGAAUCACACAGCAUUUUAGUGCGAGUAUCGUCAUGGGAAAUGUUUUAGGUGCGGCAGAGAAGGACACAUGAUCAGUCAGUGCCACAGUUCACCGGAUCAGAAUAUGUCAAAAUCCAUUGCACCAAAGCCGUUGCCAGCACCAAAGCUCCAUUAUACUUACCUGCACCCCCUACUAACUCAAGUGGAACCUCCCAGCGCAUGAAUAGUUAUUCUGGAAGCAGGAAGCAGACAAAUUCACGUGCAAAGGUGAAUCAUUUGACCCAGCAUGAUGCAGAUGAGGAAAACAAUGUGAUUACAGGUACACUUCAAGUAUGCUCACACAAUGCAUUCACUUUAUUUGAUACCGGUGCUACACAUUCAUUUAUAUCCUCAAAAUUCAUCGAUAGUCAUGGAUUAGAAAGUACCCCUUUAAGGAAAAGGAUACAUGUGGAAUCCCCGAUGACAGAAGUAAUAGCCAAGAACAUUUGUGUUGCAUAUCCUAUAGUAAUAAAAGGGCAAGAAUUUUUGGUUGAUUUAAUAGUACUAGAUAUGCAUGAUUUUGAUAUUAUACUGGGCAUGGAUUGGCUGGCUAAGAAUCAAGCCAACAUAGACUGUCAGAGAAAACGAGUGAUAAUUCAGGUACCUAGUCAGCGUAAACUCAUUUAUCAAGCGAAGCAUAAAACUUUUGACUGCUCGUUUAGCAUGAAUUUAGAACUGAAAGAAAAGGAUAUCAAAGAAAUACCAGUCGUAAGAAAUUUUCCUGAUGUUUUUCCAAGUGAAUUACCUGGAUUACCACCGGACCGAGAAAUUGAAUUUAGUAUAGACUUGACUCCUGGUACGGCUCCUAUCUCAAAGAGUCCGUACAGAAUGUCACCUGCUGAACUAAAGGAGUUGAAGAGGCAGAUUAAGGAGCUAGAAGAAAAACAAUUCAUUCGACCUAGCAUGUCACCAUGGGGCGCUCCGGUGUUGUUUGUGAAAAAGAAGGACGGCAGUUGGCGACUUUGUGUGGAUUAUCGGGAGCUAAACAAGGUAACUAUUAAGAACCAAUAUCCAUUACCAAGAAUUGAUGAUUUGUUCGAUCAAUUACAAGGGUGUCGAGUAUUUUCAAAGAUUGAUUUGCAGUCGGGAUAUCAUCAGUUAAAAAUAAAGGAUGGAGAUAUUUCAAAAACAGCGUUCCGCACAAGAUAUGGGAAUUAUGAGUACGUUGUUAUGCCAUUCGGAUUAACAAAUGCCCCCGCGGCCUUCAUGGAUUUGAUGAACCGAGUGUUCAGACCAUUUUUGGAUCAGUUCGUAGUUGUAUUUAUUGAUGAUAUUUUGAUUUAUUCAAAGACAGAAGAAGAACAUGCUCAACACCUAGAAAUAGUUCUUCAGAUAUUAAGGAAGCAUAAAUUAUAUGCAAAAUUGAAGAAAUGUGAUUUCUGGUUAAAUAAGGUGUCUUUUCUAGGACACAUUAUUUCAGGGGAAGGAAUAUCACCAGAUCCAACAAAAAUUCAAGCAAUAGUAGAUUGGAAGAGGCCAACCACCGUUACAGAAAUAAUAAGUUUCUUGGGAUUAGCAGGUUAUUACCGAAGAUUUAUUGAAGGCUUUGCACAGCUAGCAGCACCAUUGACACAGCUCACUCGAAAAGGGACAAAAUUUAUUUGGGAUGAAAAAUGUGAAGAAAACUUCCAAGAACUAAAGCAGCGAUUGGUGACGGCCCUUGUUCUAGCAGUGCCAAUAAGUGGAAUUGGAUUUACUAUAUUCUGUGAUGCUUCAAAAAUAGGCUUGGGUUGUGUGCUUAUGCAAAACAAUAAGGUAAUUGCUUAUGCUUCUCGACAGCUAAAGACACAUGAGAAAAAUUAUCCGACUCAUGAUUUGGAAUUGGGUGCUGUCAUCUUUGCAUUAAAAAUAUGGAGGCAUUAUUUGUAUGGAGAACGAUGUGAAAUUUAUACAGAUCAUAAGAGCCUGAAAUACAUAUUCACCCAAAAGGAAUUAAACAUGCGACAACCAAGGUGGCUAGAGCUACUUAAGGAUUAUGAUAUCAACAUAAAUUACCAUCCAGGUAAAGCUAACGUCGUGGCCGAUGCGCUUAGUAGAAAGACUGUUUGCAACAUGGCAUGUCUAAUUACUACACAAAGAGACAUUUUGAGGGACAUGGAGAAAUUGGGUAUAGAAGUAUAUGUACGUGAUUCAACUAGCACUGUUAUGGCAUUACAAGUCAAGCCUGAUCUGCAAGACAAAAUCCGGAUGAAACAAAUGGACGACCCAUUUCUUUUGAACGUCCGAAAGGGGAUAGAACAAGGGAAGCCAUCGGAGUUUCAUAUAAAAAGUGAUGGGUCAGUAUGGCUGAGGAACCGCUUAUGUGUCCCUAACCAGCCAGAUUUAAAGUUGGAAAUUAUGCAAGAGGCACACUCCACACCAUACACCGUGCACCCAGGGAGCAAAAAGAUGUAUCAUGACAUUAAAGGGAAUUUUUGGUGGCCCAACAUGAAGAGAUAAAUAGCAAAAUUUGUUUUAGAAUGUCCAAUAUGUCAGCAGGUAAAGGUAGACCAUCAAAAACCAGCCGGUCUUCUACAACCUUUAAAAAUCCCGACAUGGAAAUGGGAAGAAAUUAGUAUGGAUUUUUUCACGGGUGUACCUCAAACUUCUGCAGGAUAGGAUGCUAUAUGGGUCAUAGUAGACAGAUUGACCAAAGUGGCACAAUUUAUCCCAGUAAAGAAAACAUUUUCUCUUGAAAAAUUAGCUAAAUUAUACAUCAAGGAGAUAGUUGCUAAUUAUGGAGUUCCUGUCGACAUUACAUCUGAUCGAGAUCCGAGGUUUGUCUCAAGAUUUUGGAAAAUCUUACAUAAAGCAUUGGGAACAAAGUUAAAUUUUAGUACGGCGUAUCAUCCUCAAUCCGAUGGACAGUCAGAACGAGUUAUACAAAUAUUGGAGGAUAUGUUGCGAGCAAGUGUGUUAGACUUCAAGGAAAAAUGGGAUGAAUCACUUCCUCUGGUUAAAUUCGCAUACAAUAAUAGUUAUCAGUCAAGUAUUAAAAUGGCCCCUUAUGAAGCGUUAUAUGGCAAGAGGUGUCGCUCUCCAAUCUGCUGGGAAGAAAAUGGAGAAAGGAAAUAUCUAGGCCUAGAUUUAGUUCAACAUGCCGAGGAAAAAUUACGAAUUAUUUGUGAGCACCUAAAGGCAGUACAAAGUCGACAAAAGACUCAAGCAGAUAAAAAGCGCAGAGAAGUUGAGUUUAAGGCAGGAGAUUUUGUCUAUUUGAAAGUUUCUCCAAAGAAAGGGACAAGACGUUUUGGCCUACAUGGAAAAUUAAGUCCAAGAUAUGUCGGGCCAUUUCAAAUCAUUAAUAAAGUUGGAGCUGUCGCUUAUCGUCUGGAAUUACCCCCAAAUUUAUUAGGGAUACACAACGUGUUCCAUGUAUCCACUUUAAAGAAGUGUGAAUUCCCACCAAAAACAGUAGAAUUACCACUCACGGAGCUGCAGCCGGAUCUAUCCUAUGAAGAGCACCCAAUAAAGAUUUUGGAUGUAAAAUAUAGGGUAAUGAGAAAAAGGACCAUUCGGUUUGUAAAAGUUCAAUGGAGCAACCAUACAGAGGAGGAGGCGACUUGGGAAAAAUAAGAUGAUCUACACGCAUGUUUUCCGCAUCUCCAGUUUAUUGGUAAUUAAAUUUUGAGGACGAAAUUUCUAUAAAUAGGGGAGGAUGUAAUACCCGUGUUUAUUAGCAUAAAUAAGAUGUUUUAUUUGGUAAGUUAACAAAUUAGCAAAAUAUUGGAGUAGUAAUAAUCAGCUUAAUUAGACAAAUAAAUCAUUGGCAAUCAUUGGUUAGUACUAAGUAAGAGUAGUCAACUUGAAAGGAUAUGCAUUACAAGAACAUGCUUGUAGAACCUUCGGGUAGGAGGGCCAUGUGCGGGUGUGGUACAAGAUAUUUAGUAGCUCAAGUUUGCAUUUAUCUGUAGCAUUUAAUGCUCUAUUGAGUCAGCUAGGCAUGUGUAGUGUGAAAGUACAAACUGCUGUAAAACUAGGGACACCGAGGCUGCUGAGUUACACUUAUCCAGCUCCAUUUCCUACCCUACCAUGCCUAUAAAUAGAGGAGCAAGAGCACACUGUAGUAUUCAUCCCAACAUACAAACCAGUUCAGUAACUAGCAUUGCAUGGAGUAGAAUCACACUGACCGGCAAGAGCGCUCGGAGGAAGCAGCGAGUCAGGCAAGCAUGCAUUCCAUCUAGCCUUUCUAGCUGUCCUAUUCCUUGUUUGUCUCACUGUUCAUGCCAUGCUCUAUAGCUAGUAGUACUUCUGAAGCUCUAUAAUGUGCACUGUUCAUUUGAUUCCUGUACAUCUCUUGAAGCUAGCAUGCAUACCACAAUACUACCUUUUGGUUUAUGAUCACGAUGGAGAAAUCCUUAGUACAUGCAUGUGAGCAAAUGGAUUAAUGGCUCAUGCAUGGAUGGUUGGUUCUGUGAAAAGCCUAGUGAUAUUUAUUUUGGUCUUGCAUGUACUUCCUCUUGCUAAUCCUUGUCUAGUAAAUUUUAUAAAAUCUAGUAUCACGACGGCAAACGUAUUGUACCGGUCACAGUUCAGGUAUGGGACUGUCUGAGUUCUCCGCUAAGAACGCCACUCGUUCGGAAGCGUGUCGAUGAUGGAUCCAUAGGAGCGAUCGACACUAGUAAGUCGAGUGGGCGGUUCUUGGGGGAAUAGAGAGCUCUGCUCUACUAGCGCCUGUGUGGUUCUAGUCGAGGCUGCUGACGUCGGAGUACCCCUCUUAAGAGCGUAAAAGUGUGAAAUUUCACCCCUGUGACUCCCGGGUUGGGAAGCUUGCGGUCAUGUGUGAUGUCAGUUAUUUCUUUCCUUUUCUUUAAAUUAAUCUCCAUUAUCUUCCUCUGCCAACAAACUCUUUCUUUACAACUAACCCCUGUGUUCUGUCACUAUUUGCUGAGAGAAGUUCCUGUGUACCCGUGUGCUUGCUGAGUAUGAGAUCAUACUCAUUCUUGCUAUUGUUGUUGAUUUUGUAGAAGUAGCAAAUGAUGGAUGUGCUGAUGAGAAUGAGGAACAGUUGGAGUAGCUCUACGGGUUGGGAAUAAAUAAAGAAGUUGCAUGUAUCAUAACCUUUGUAAUAGCUAGUAAUGAAUAAAGUUGGCUCUUGUGCAUACUGGAAAAUAAUAUGUUUACUAGCCUAACAUGCUUAUAAAUUGGAGAUUUAUAAGCAUGUGGCGAUUGUCACUGCUAAGACUCACUUGGGGCGUGACAAUUUUAUUGGUAUCAGAGCUCUUGUACCCGCUAAGACACGAACACCUGGACCUACUGAACAUGGCUCUGAUACCACUUUAACUGUCACGCCCCGAGACCGGGCCUAGGCGAGACAGCCGCCACGAGCCUAUAGACCAGAGGCCUAUAGUCACACAAGGCAUGAUAAAGCAGGCAUAAACCAGAAGUGGAUCACAAAAGCUAAUAUAUUUACUAUAAAAAUUCCUUAACAUCUACAAAUAGUUGAGUAAAGACAUCAUAUUCUCUAGUCGCUUCCCACCCGCUGGUCAAGCCUAGUCUUGGAUGAAGACAUCUUCUGAACAUACUUAAGUUGAACAUACUUAAGUUACCUCGUUCGCAUCUAAAAAAACAGAGGAAGCAAGGGUGAGUACGACAAAUCAUACUCAGCAAGCAGAUACUUCACUAUUCAACAAGGAGCAAUGGUAUGAUGGUGUAGAUCAACAUACGAAAUGAACAAGGAAAUUAUUGGCAUCACACAUGACUGCAAGCUUCCCAACCUGGGAGUCACAGGGGUGAAAUUUCACACUUUUACGCUCUUAAGAGGGGUACUCCGACGUCAGCAGCCUCGACUAGAACCACACACUUUAACUGUCACGCCCCGAGACCGGGCCUAGGCGAGACAGCCGCCGCGCGCCUAUAGACCAGAGGCCUAUAGUCACGCAAGGCAUGAUAAAGCAGGCAUAAACCAGCAGUGGAUCACAAAAUCUCAUAUAUUUGGUUUACAAAUUUCUUUACAUUUACAAAUAGGCAAACUACAUUAAAUUCUCUAGUCGCUUCCUACCCACUGGUCCAGCCUAAUCUUCGAUGACAUCUUCUGGGCAUACUUAAGUUACAUUGGCUGCAUCUAAAAAGACGAAGGAGACAAGGGUGAGUACGAUAAAUCAUACUCAACAAGCAUAUACUUCAUUAUUCAACAAAAGCAAUGGUAAAAUGAUGUAGAUCAACAAACGAACUGAAUCCAAAGGAUAAACAAGGUAACAAUCACUGGAACAUAUUUUGCUGGAGAUGUGUAAAAUAAAUAGUAUAAUCAAAGACGAACAAGGGAGGUAUUGGCGUCACACGUGACCGCAAGCUUCCCAACCCGGGAGUCACAGGGGUGAAAUUUCACACUUUUACGCUCUUAAGAGGGGUACUCCGACGUCGACAGUCUCGACUAGAACCACACAGGUUCCAGAAGAGCAGAGCUCUCUAUUCCCCCAAGAACCACCCACUCGACUUACUAGUGUCGAUCGCUCCUACGGAUCCAUCAUCGACACGCUUCCGAACGAGUGGCGUUCUUAGCGGAGAACUCAGACAAUCCCAUACCUGAACUGUGACCGGUACAAUACGUUUGCCGUCGUGAUACCAGAUUUUAUAAAAUUUACUAGACAAGGAUUAGCAAGAGGAAGUACAUGCAAGACAAAAAUAAAUAUCACUAGGCUUUUCACAGAACCAACCAUCCAUGCAUGAGCCAUUAAUCCAUGUGCUCACAUGCAUGUACCAAGGAUUUCUCCACCGUGAUCAUAAACCAAAAGGUAGUACUGUGGUAUGCAUGCUAGCUUCAAGAGAUGUACAGGAAUCAAAUGAACAGUGCACAUUAUAGAGCUUCAGAAGUACUACUAGCUAUAGAGCAUGGCAUGAACAGUGAGACAAACAAGGAAUAGGACAGCUAGAAAGGCUAGAUGGAACGCAUGCUUGCCUGACUCGCUACUUCCUCCGAGCGCUCUUGCAGUCAUGUGUGAUGCCAGUUAUUUCUUUCCUUUUCUUUAAAUUAAUCUCCAUUACCUUCCUCUGCCAACAAACUCUUUCUUUACAACUAACCCCUUGUGUUCUGUCACUAUUUGCUGAGAGAAGUUCCUGUGUACCCGUGUGCUUGCUGAGUAUGAGAUCAUACUCAUUUUUGCUAUUGUCGUUGAUUUUGCAGAAGUAGCAAAUGAUGGAUGUGCUGAUGAGAAUGAUGAACAGUAGGAGUAGCUCUACGGGUUGGGAAUAAAUAAAGAAGUUGCAUGUAUCAUAACCUUUGUAAUAGCUAGUAAUGAAUAAAGUUGGCUCUUGUGCAUACUGGAAAAUAAUUUGUUUACUAGCCUAACAUGCUUAUAAAUUUGAGAUUUAUAAGCAUGUGGUGAUUGUCACGGCCGCCUAUAGACCAGAGGCCUAUAGUCACGCAAGGCAUGAUAAAACAGGCAUAAACCAACAGUGGAUCACAAAAUCUCAUAUAUUUGGUUUACAAAUUUCUUUACAUUUACAAAUAGGCAAACUACAUUAAAUUCUCUAGUCGCUUCCUACCCACUGGUCCAGCCUAAUCUUGGAUGACAUCUUCUAGGCAUACUUAAGUUACAUCGGCUGCAUCUAAAAAGACGGAGGAGACAAGGGUGAGUACGAUAAAUCAUACUCAGCAAGCAGAUACUUCACUAAAAUUGUCACGCCUCAAGUGAGUCUUAGCCGUGACAAUCGCCACAUGCUUAUAAAUUUUGAUUUAUAAGCAUGUGGCGAUUGUCACGGCUAAGACUCACUUGGGGCGUGACAGCCCCUGCCUGGAUCAAGUCUGUGAUGAGGUGUGUGACAAAUGUUUGUUAUGCUGUCAGAGUUAACGAGGAACUUACUGAUCCGGUGGUACCUUCUCGGGGUAUUCGCCAGGGGGACCCGAUCAGCCCCUACAUGUUCCUCUUAUGCACUAAAGGUCUAUCUAGUCUGCUUUUUCAGAAGGAGUGUCGUGGCGAGCUACAUGGGAUCAGAAACUGCCGUCAAGGUCCACCUAUCUCACACCUCCUAUUCGCGGACGAUAGCAUUUUCUUUGCAAGGAGCGAUCACCGUAGUGUGGCCUCGCUGGCAUCGGUUUUACACACAUUUGUGAGGGCUCUGCCCAAUCUAUCAACAAGGAGAAAUCUUCAAUCUUCUUUGGAAAUCACUGUCCGGAUAGUGUCAAGAAUAGGGUUAAGUCUCAGCUUGGAGUCUAUAAUGAGGACUUUCAUGGAUCUUAUCUUGGGAUGCCCACGGAGGUUGGAAAAUCUCCUACUAGCACUUUCAAAAUUUUGACUGACAGAGCAUGGCAGAAUAUUUUUGGAUGAUGCGACCGACCUUUAUCUAGGGCUGGAAAUGAAACACUGCUAAAAUCAAUUACACAUGCCAUCCCAACAUUUGUCUCCAGCUGCUUUCGCCUUCCUGUCGCAACGUGUGAGAAGUUUUGCCAAAUUGUGGCCGAUCAAUGGUGGGGUCGAGAGGAUGGAAAGAGGAAGCUACACUGGAGGUCUUGGGCUUGGCUCUCGACCCCAAAGUCGCUUGGUGGUAUGGGUUUUCGGGAUAUGGUGUUGUUCAAUCAGGCAAUGCUUGGUAAGCAGAGAUGGCGGCUCUUCACUUAACCUGAUUCGCUUUGUGCUCGUGUUCUGAAGGGCAGAUACUUUCCGACAGGGGACUUUUGGAACACCACGAUGCCACGAACUGCCUCGGCGACCUGGCGUGGUAUCCUAAAUGGCCGGGACUUUCUCAAACAAGGGGUUCAGUGGGGCAUUGGUGAUGGUAGGAACAUACGCAUUCUAUCUGAUCAUUGGAUCCCAUCAACAUCACCGGCCCGACUGCAUCCUCUGUUCCCCAUUCCAGUAACCGCCACUGUCCACUGUCUUCUAGACGAGGUGAACGGCUCUUGGGAUGUGGAGACCGUGAGAGCUUUCUUUCCUGAGAGAGUGGCUGAUGAUAUCCUUCCGAUUCCAGUUAACAGAUUCAAGGGUCCAGAUUUUGCUCGUUGGCCUUUUUCCAAAUUUGGAGAGUAUUCGGUCAGGUCUGCGUAUAACAUGGUAAGAACGACCCGUUUCUUGUUGGCUCGGAGUGGCAAUGGCCUGGGUCAGAGCUCGACCUGGUCAGAAGAAGAAAAGCUAUGGAAGGCGUUGUGGCGAGUCAAGGCACCCAACAAGAUGAAGAUUGUCCUAUGGCGAUUGGCUCAUGAUUGUCUACCGUCAGGGGAGCAGCUUCUUCAUCGCCAGAUCCCGACUAGAACAGAUUGUUGUUUCUACGGCAGAUCGGAGAGUGUGGAGCACGCGCUGCUCUUCUGCCCCCAUGCGCGGGCGGUCUGGGAUAUGAUCAGGGAGUGCUUCGAUAUUAAGCUCUGUCGGUCCUCUUUUGCAUCUCCUAAACAAUGGCUCUUUGACUUUCUCUCCCGCUUCUCCGAUCAAGAAGCGACAAUCUUGACUGUGUCGGUUUGGCACAUAUGGGAGGCACGAAAUGCUGGAAGGAUGAACCUGUUGCUCCUCAUCCGAGGCACACAGCGGCUAGGGCCCGAGCUUACAUCGAGUUGAUCUUCCAACACCUGUACAAACCUGUGCCUGCACUUAGGCGUGAGACCUCUACGUCAAGCCCUCUUUGGUCUCCCGCCGCCGCAGGGCACGCUGGUCGCCUUCUCAGAUGCUGCUAUUUCGGUGGAACUGAACAAAUCUGGGUUUGGUGUGGUAUUUUUGGAUCAUAUGGGUCACUGUGUGGCGUCUUGCUCUAAACUUGUGAAAGGUGUGUUGGAUCUUGAAGUGGCCGAGGCCAUGGCGCUCCGUCGAGCUGUCCGUUUGGCUAGAGAGGAAGGAUUGGCUGAUGUGCUUUUCAAGUCAGACUGUCUCUCAGUGGUGCAGCGCAUGAAAUCUCCAGCCAUGGAUCGUUCAAUGAUGGGAUCUGUGUUGGCUGAGGUCAAGGUAGUGGCUAAUGGUCUCCACUUUGCGUCGUUUUUGCAUAUACGUCGGCAUAUUAAUGUUUUAGCUCAUGUCUUACCUAGAUCAAGCUUGUUUUCUACUAGUCUUUGUAUUUCUCAUUCUGCUCCGGAUUACAUCAACUCUUUGUAAGUUUGUUUUUUGAUCAAUAAAGACCGACGUUCUAAAAAAACAAUUCGGUUUGGAGGCGUGGCCAUCGCAGCCUUGCACUGUGCCCACGAUUAGAAAACUCGCUGACCUCUUCUAGAUACAUUGCAUACAUUCGCAAAAAGAGUAUACGUUGCAUACGUAGUCCGAAGAUGGUAAAUAUGUCUAGACUAUUUCUCCCGACAGGUACUCCCUUCUUUUCGAAAUAUAAGUUAUUUUAGGGAUUUUAAUAUGAACUGACAUAUUUUAGAGUAUACAUCCACUCAUCUUGUUCUGUAUGUAAUACUCCCUCCGUUCCUAAAUGUAAGUCUUUUUAAAUAUUCCACUACAAACUACAUAUGGAUGUAUAUACACAUAUUUUAGAGCAUAGAUUCACGCAUUUUGCUUCCUAUAUGGAUCAUAGUGGAACCUUUAAAAAGACUUAUAUUUAAAAACGGAGAAAGUAUAUAUUAAAAUCUCUGAAAGAGACUUGUAUUUAGAAACGAAGGGAGUAUUUCCAAACAAAGCGAGUAUCUUGGCCGCAACCGCAGCUAGCGGACGACGCCGAUGAUGUUGAGACGCCAUCAAACCCAGCGAGAGGGCAGUUGCGUGGGAUCGACGUAAGUGGCAUUAUGACAAAGCUGUCAAGGUGCAACUGCUUCUCCCGCCGCACUGUUACGGAUGUCACGGGGGGCAUAGCUAGUUAAGCUACGGGAGAGUGGAACCCAGCCCACGCACCGUUGUUGAUCCUAUCUCGCCGAGAGUCGCCGGCUCCGGCCACAGGCCGGGCAGCCGGGCAAGCUUCGUCCUGCAUGCGAUCGAUGCAUGCAUGGACCACUUAGCCACUCGAUCGGUCGGAAUUAAGCGAGCCACGGUACGUUGAGCUAGCAUGAUUGGCAGAAGCAGGGCGCCCCUCACGUCGCAUGCAGCCAUUAAGGCCCUGUACAAUGAAAGGUGCUUAGGGGAGAUGCUUAGAGAAAUAAAUCAGGCUUUUCUUAAGUAUCAGUGCUUAUUUGUACAUGAUAGACGUUUAACUAAUCGUCUCUCCUGUAAAAAUAGGCACCGGUGCUUCAAAAAAACCCGGUUUAUUUUUUAAGCAUCUUUCUAAGCACCUUCCAUUGUACAAGGCCUAACAGUGACACACUAGCUGCUCCUCUCAUGUCGUGCGUGUCUGCAUGUGCAUCGUGUGACCACAGGGCAUGAUAUGGAUGCAAACUUUUGUUAGGCAGAUCAGAUGGCUCUAGUCGCUCGUAUAGAUAACCAAGGGAGGGAGCUCCACAUGAGAUGUUUAUGGCGCCUUAAUCGGGGUGUUAGGCUGCUCCGGCAAAGCACAGCACCACUGCUGAACGCCUGCGACGGUGGGUCUGCCCCCACGUGAUAUUGCUCUCUAGCUUCUCUUUGUUGUGUGUGCCCAGCCUCAAUAAUCCAUUUUUUCUGAAAUCUUAUCCGCUUAUCCCUUACCCAUGAGUGACCGGGUCGUGCUGAGCAGUAUCGUGCGGACGUACUAAUGGAAAUUGUUUAGUGUGCUACAUAUAUCUUGGUCCGUGCUUGAAUUAGUUGUGCAUAGUUUAUCCUAAAUGCUGCGCAGCAUUUUUCUAGCCAUCGCGCGCGAAAGCUCUUCCUGCCUUCGAUCACCUAGCACGAAUCACGAUGCAAAGCUGAUGUCAGGUCGGUUUUUUGAAUUGUUCGCGCACGCGUCUGAAUUGAGCAAACGAAGUUCAGCUUGGAGCAACUCCAAUGCGCCAAUCCAAACAGCCGCCAAUGCGUCCAACACACCGAUCAUAUUUGCCGGCGUGGCCGGUUGGCCGCCUUUUUUUAACAAAUAUGCGCACAUUUUGCAUAGUUUCACAACUAAAUAAACAUAAUUUCACAAUCAAAUAAAGCAUAGUUUGACAACUAAAUAAAUUUAGCAUGGUUUUACAAGCCGGAUAAAAAUUAAAUUGUCUCAAAUACAUGUGAAAAAAAGAUACAUCUAUUGGUUGCCAACAUGAGCCCACAUAUACUCAACAAAAUCAUUUUGCAGCUGCAUGUGAGGUUUUUAAUCACGCAUUUCAUUAUGAAAUUGUGUGAACUGUGCAAAAGUGGUCGCUCCUCCAUAUUCAGGCACAACAUUCUCACCUAAAACUAAAACCUUGAUCGUAGGUACGUUCCGGGCGCUUAUCCUCCACGAUUAUAUUGUGCAUGAUCACACAAGUAGUCAUCACCUCCCACAACUUCUUUGUUCUUCAAGUCCUAACAGGAUACCGAACGAUGCCCCAAUGAGAUUGCAGAACACCAAAGGCACGCUCAACAUCCUUCCUAGCACUCUCUUGCUCUUGGGCAAAUAUUUUCAUCUUCUCUCAGACAGGGUUGGGGAUUGUCUUCAUAAUAGUGGUCCACUGAGGAUAGAUACCGUCACCUAGGUAGUAUCCAUAGUCGUAGUUGUGCCCGUUGAUGGUAACAUUCACCAGCGGGUUGUUGCUUUCGACAGGCCUUGCAAACACGGACGAGCGUUGAAGCACGUUGAUACCAUUAGGUGAUCCCGCCAUGCCGAAGAAAGAGUGACAGAUCCAAAGAUCUUGUGGCCACGGCCUCAAGUAUGACACAGCAAACCCUGGCAUGGCACUUAUACUGCCCUUGCCAAGUAGAAGGUGAAGGAAAUAUGCCCUAGAGGCAAUAAUAAAGUUGUUAUUUUAUAUUUCCUUAUUCAUGAUAAAUGUUUAUUAUUCAUGCUAGAAUUGUAUUAACCGGAAACUUGAUACAUGUGUGGAUACAUAGACAAAACACCAUGUUCCUAGUAAGCCUCUACUAGACUAGCUAGUUAAUCAAAGAUGGUUAAGUUUCCUAACCAUAGACAUGUUUUGUCAUUGGAUGAACGGGAUCACAUCAUUAGAGAAUGAUGUGAUGGACAAGACCCAUCCGUUAGCUUAGCAUAAUGAUCGUUCAGUUUUAUUGCUAUUGCUUUCUUCAUGUCAAAUACAUAUUCCUCCGACUAUGAGAUUUUGCAACUCCCAGAUACCGGAGGAGUGCUUUGUGUGCUAUCAAACGUCACAACAUAACUAUAAAGAUGCUCUACAGGUAUCUCCGAAGGUGUUUGUUGGGUUGGCAUAGAUCAAGAUUAGGAUUUGUCACUCUGAGUAUCGGUGGGGUAUCUCUGGGCCCUCUCGGUAAUGCACAUCAUAAGAAGCCUUGCAAGCAAAGGGACUAAUGAGUUAUUUACAGGAUGAUGCAUUACGGUAUGUGUAAAGAGACGUGUCGGUAACGAGAUUUAACUAGGUAUGAAGAUACCGACGAUCGAAUCUUGGGCAAGUAACAUACCGAUGACAAAGGGAAUAAUGUAUGUUGUCAUAAGGUUCGACCGAUAAAGAUCUUCGUAGAAUAUGUAGGAGCCAAUAUGGGCAUCCAGGUCACACUUUUGGUUAUUGACUGGAGAGGUCUCUCGGUCAUGUCUACAUAGCUCUUGAACCCGUAGGGUCCGCACGCUUAACGUUUGUUGACGAUAUAUUAUUAUAUGAGUUAUGUAUGUUGGUGACCAAAUGUUGUUCGGAGUCUCGGAUGAGAUCACGGACAUGACGAGGAGCUCCAGAAUGGUCUGAGGGUAAAGAUUCAUAUAUUGGAAGAUAUGGUUAGGCCAAGGGGUUUGGCCCAUGGGGAUAUAGGUCGGUGCAAAAGAAAGUUUUGCGGAGGUCAGAGGCCAAACGCCGGAGACCAUGGCGUCUGGCCCUGGGCCAGACGCCGAGGCCCAUGGCGUCUGGGCCAGACGCCAAGGAUUGUGGUGUGUGGGCCUGGAGUCCGAGUGGGAUUCCUGCCUUUCGGGCAAAACCGACUUUGAGGAGGCUUUUGCUCCAAGUUUCGACCCCAGGGCUCAACAUAUAAAUAGAGGGGCAGGGCUAGCACCAAAGACACAUCAAGAUUCACCAAGCCGUGUGCCGACAACCCCGUCCCCUCUAGUUUAUCCUCCGUCAUAGUUUCCGUAGUGCUUAGGCGAAGCCCUGCGGAGAUUGUUCUUCACCAACACCGUCACCAUGUCGCCGUGCUGACGGAACUCAUCUACUUCCUCGACACUCUGCUGGAUCAAGAGUUUGAGGGACAUCAUCGAGCUGAAUGUGUGUAGAAGUCGGAGGUGCCGUACGUUCGGUACUUGAUUGGUCGGAACGAGAAGAAGUUCGACUACAUCAACCGCGUUGUCAAACGCUUCCGCUUUCGGUCUACGAGGGUACGUAGAUACACUCUCCCCAUAUCGUUGCUAUGCAUCUCCUAGAUAGAUCUUGCGUGAGCGUAGGAAUUUUUUGAAAUUGCAUGCUACGUUUCCCAACAGUGGCAUCCGAGCCAGGUCUAUGCGUAGAUGAUAUGCACAAGUAUAACACAAAGAGUUGUGAGCGGUGAUUGUCAUACUACUUACCACCAAUGUCUUAUUUUGAUUCGGUGGUAUUGUUGGAUGAAGCGGCCCGGACCAACCUUACAUGACCACGUUCAUAAGACCAGUUCCACUGAUAGACAUGCAACUAGUUUUGCAUAAAGGUGGCCGACGGGUGUCUAUUUCUCCUACUUUAGUUGAAUCGAAUUUGACUGCAGACGGUCCUUGUUGAAGGUUACAACAGCAAACUUGAUAAAUCACCAUUGUGGUUUUGUGCCGUAGGUAAGAACGGUUCUUGCUAGAAUCUCGUAGCAGCCACGUAAAACUUACAACAACAAAGUAGAGGGCGUAUAACUUGUUUUUGUAGGGCAUGUUGUGACGUGAUAUACGUUGUUGUAUGAGAUGAUCAUGUUUUGUAGAAGUUAUCGGCAACUGGCAAGAGCCUUAUGGUUGUCGCUUUAUUGUAUGAAAUGCAAACGUCAUGUAAUUGCUUUAGUUUGUCACUAAGCAGUAGCGAUAGUUGUAGAAGCAAUAGUUGGCAAGACAACCAUGACGCUACGAAGGAGAUCAAGGUGUCAAGCCGGUGACAAUGGAGAUCAUGACGUUGCUUUGUAGAUGGAGAUCGAAAGCAAAAGAUGAUGGUGGCCAUAUCAUGUCACAUAUUUUGAUUGCAUGUGAUGUUUAUCUUUAUGCAUCUUAUUUUGCUUAGUACGGCGGUAGCAUUAUAAGAUGAUCCCUUAACUAAAUUUUAAGGUAUAAGUGUUCUCCUCGAGUAUGCACCAUUGCAACAGUUCUUCAUGCUGAGACACCACGUGAUGAUCGGGUGUGAUAGGCUCUACGUUCACAUACAAAGAGUGCAAGAUAGUUUUGCACAUGUGAAAUACUCGGGGUAAACUUGACUAGCCUAGCAUGUACAGACAUGGCCUUGGAACACUCUAGACUGAAAGGUCGAACGUGAAUCAUAUAGUAGAUAUGAUCAACAUAGAGAUGUUCACCAUUGAUGACUUCUCCAUCUCACGUGAUGAUCAGACAUGGUUUAGUUGAUUUGGAUCACGUAUCAUUUAUAUGACUUGGGAGAUGUCUAUCUAAGUGGGAGUUCUUAAGUAAUAUGAUUAAUUGAACUUAAUUUAUCAUGAACUUAGUCCCGAUAGUUUUUGCAUAUCUAUGUUGUAGAUCAAUGGCCCGUGCUACUGUUCCUUGAAUUUUAAUGCGUUCCUAGAGAAUGCUAAGUUGAAAGAUGAUGGUAGCAACUACACGGGCUGGGUCCGUAACUUGAGGAUUAUCCUCAUUGGUGCACACAAGAAUUAUGUCCUUCAUGCAUUGCUAGGUGUACCACCCCCCUCCCAACACCUGCAGACGUUGUGAACGCCUGGCAGUCGUGUGUUGAUGACUACUCAAUAGUUCAGUGUGUCAUGCUUUACGGCUUAGAAUCGGGACUUUAAAGACGUUUUGAACGUCAUGGACCAUAUGAGAUGUUCCAGGAGUUGAAGUUGAUAUUUCAAGCAAAUGCCCGAGUUGAGAGAUAUGAGGUCUAUGAUACGUCUCCAACGUAUCUGUAGUUUUUAAUUGUUCCAUGUUAUUAUAUUAUCAUUCUUGCAUGUUUUACAAUCAUUUUAUAGUCAUUUUAUAUCAUUUUUUGGUACUAACCUAUUGACAAAGUGCCCCGUGCCAGUUGUUGUCUUCUGCUUGUUUUUUACAUCGCAGGAAAUAAAUAACAAUCGGAGUCCAAACGCAGUGAAACUUUUUAUGGAUUUUUUUGGACCAAAAGACAUCCAGUGGGCAAAGAAAGUAAUCUGUUAGUCAGCCCAAGAAGGCUAUGAAGAAGAAAUCUAUUGUGAAGCCAUCUUCUUCUGCAAUGCCCUCACGACCUAGCUCCUCAUUGCCCUCAUGGCCCAGCUCCUCAAAGCCCUCAGCUGCACCUACAAAGUUCUCAGCACCAGUGCAUCUUACCACGUGCCAAAGGACUACAUGCUUUUCAAUUGCUUCAGGAGCUUCAGCAAGUUCCUCAGCACAGCCAUAGCUGCUGAAGAAAAAGGUCACUGCUAGACGCGGCACAAGGCCAAGUCCUCACAAGAAGCAGGUCGCUUUUGAAGUACCAUCAUCUAAAGAUGAUGCUCAUGAUGAAGAACUGGCUCAAAUCAUCAGAGACCGACAAAACCGGGACGCUAGUGCCAAAGGUAGUGUCGUGCCGCUCUUGCUGGAUCCGAAGAAGAUCCUUGACUACACCGACCUUUGGCAUAAAGAUCCCAACACACCUCUCUCCUAUCUGAAGCUCACACCAGGCCAAAGUCACGUGUUGACUGCUUUCAUUGCUGAAGAAAAAUGGAAGUUUGAGAAGAAAGAUCAGUGAAGAAAGCUCAGUACAAGAAGGAGCAUUAUCUGAAGAAAAAUGUUCUAAAAAUGACGACUGAACAACUUGUAACUAUUUAGUCUGAAAUCAAAGCUCUCAAUGAUGAAUUUGACGCAUACAAAGCUGAUUGGCUAGGAGCCAAAGCCAGAUUCGUCAUGCUGGCUAAAGGCCUCAAGCCCAAUGUUGUUGCUGAAGCGCAACAAGAAGUUCCUCAGGGUGAAGCAUCUGCUCAACCCACUGAAGAACAUGCCAGCACCACUGAUGAAACUUAGGCUGCUGAAGAAACUGAGAGUGCUAGGGCUGAUGAUGCUAUUCCAGCCAACGUUGUGCCUAAAGAAAUUGUGCCUCUGUCAUCUGCUUCCCCUGCAAAAUCUUCAGAGAUGAAAAGCACUCUCCUUCCUUUUGCAUCAGAAGUGAAGAAAACCAAGGCUGUCGAAAGGGCAUCAGCUAAGAAGAGGAAAGCAUCAGACGCCUCAGAGUCUUCAGCUCCGAAGAAAGUGAAGACUUUGACGAGCUCUUUUGAGAAUCCCAUUGAUGUUGUUCCACUAAAUGCCAUGCCAUCAAAGGAAAUUGUUCCCUUUGGUGAAGAAUAUGUCAUCGAUGAUGACAUUGAUGAAGGUGAUCCAUCUGCUGCUACGUCAGAGCAGUUGGAUGAAGAAAUUGAAGUGGAUGAUAUCCCUUCAUCGUUACAGGUAUCAUCGCCGCUGCCUUAGUUCACUACUGAAGAGGUCGGUGUUGAAGAAGUUGAAGCUAAAGAAGAGGAUGUGGACAUCGGGUCUACGACUCCAGUGAUGAAUGACGAUUAUUGGGAAAGUCAUCAUCCAAAUUCUCCUCUGUUCACUCCUUUGCAAUAAAUUCCUCAGUCCCCCGUGCACACUGAAGUAAUCCACUCGGGUUCUGAUCACGGCCAAGCUUCUCUUCACUCCAUCCCUGAAGAAAUUCCGGCCACUAGUGCUGAUGAGAUUGAAAAAAAGACAGCAGAAGAAACUGCUCCUAAGAUUCCUCAGCCAGAGGUUGUGCUUCAAGCGGCUGUGAAGACUUCAACUAUAAAUCUUCAGCCCAAGCCACAGGAUCCUCACUCCAAGAAGCAGAAGUUCAAGGCUGAUGAUUUCUUUGCUGAACACCAUUUCUUCUCUGAUUUCAAUCCCUAUGACACUGCUCGCCUUUGCCGCAAGCGCUUCUGGACUGCUUCCCGGAUGAACUUCUAUUCAACACUGCUAUUUGGCAAGGACAAAAGUGUUUGACCAUAGGCAAAUUCCACAUGUGGAUAUGGAGUCACUUCCAUGCUUUACUCCAGUCCUCAGUGUUCUUCAUGAUGCAAGGAUGCUCAACUUUUGCACAGACAUAUGCGACUGGAAUGAAGAACUAAUUCUUCCGUUCUAUGCCACUCUGCAUCUGACACGCAACGUUGACAUGUGAAUUCAUGGGUCUUGGACUGGAUAACUGAAAAUACUCAUCACAAACCUCUGGCCUCUGAAUUGCUUCAUGUCGUCCCAGCCAUUUUGCCCACCGAAGGAGCACUGAAGCUAUAUGAGGAACCUGAACUGUCAAAUCAUCUGAUGCAUGUGCUGAUGAAGCCUUUGAAGCCUGGCCAAGCGCCUAGGACUGUCUAUCACAUUAUGGCCAAAACCCUCAGUCCCAUUAAGGGACACAACUCUGAAGAAGAAGAAGUUGUUGGCAUCAUGAAGAACUUGCUUUGCAAUAUCAUGCAUGGUAUUCCAAUCAACUAUCAUGAUUUCUUCAUGAGGACUUUGGCUAAUGCUGCUUUGUCACCCUUUGAGUUGAAGCCUUACGCUCCCUGGAUCAUGAAAUUCCUCAGAUCAAGGACUUCAAUUCAUUACAAGGCUGACUUUCAGAAUCAUCUCAGUUAUUUGCCCCCGAUUGAAGUCCUCAAAUGGACUAUUUCCUUCGUUGAUGAGAAGGGCAAGGCUGCAGUUAUUGAUGAGGGCACACAUCCUUUGGAUGGACAAUUUCGAAAGGCAGCACCCUACUCCACUAAUGAUGACUCUGCCACAAAUGACACUGUUGCAAAUGCUUCAAAGUGAAAUCCUCAGGCAACAGCUCCGCAUGUGAUGACUGAUUGUGAGCUGCUCCUAAGUCUUCAUCAGAAGGUGGACAUAAAUCACAAUUGGGUCAAGCGUCAGUUUGGUGCAAUCCUUCACAAGAUGAGAUUCACUCAAAAUACCGUGAAGAAGAAUCACUAUUAUCUGCAUCAAGUCUUCGAUCGCACCUGGGCUAUUCUCUCAUAUGUCUACACCGAUGAUGAACUCAAGAAGAUGGACUUACAUAGGACUUUGACUGGUCUCAGUCACCUUCGAAUAAAUUCAAGAAGGUCAAAGUUCCUCCGCUGGUCGUCAGCUCCUAUUCUUCAUUGCACGAGAUGGACGAAGCUGAAGAUUUGGCUGACACUGCAGCAGGCCCUACUACAACGGACGACCCCAACAACGCUGGCGCUCCUCCAUCGACAUCAUGAUGAUAUUCUUCAGGGUGUUUGUCCUCACUUUUCGUCCCUUUUGGUCAUUUGAUGACAAAGGGGGAUAAAUUUGAGUUAGUCUUCAAGCGGGUCUAUAUAUGGGCGUUUUUUGCUAAGUUACAACUCUCGCUCUUCUGAAGUAUUUGUCGGAUCGAGUUGUAAACUUAAGUCCUAUGGUGGCCUAAUACUUUUGCUCUAUUUUUCUGCACGCUAUUUCCUCAUAUAUGUGAAUGCACGCAUGGUGAAUUACAUCAGUCACCAUAUUUCAUCAUGCAUUUCAAAUUCUUCAUUCGAUAUGUUUAAUGUGUGUAUGAAUUACAAGAUAUAGGGGGAGAUCUACAUGAUAUUACUCUACAGUGUGCAUUGCUUAUUGAAAGAAAAUUCCUCACAUAUGCACAUAGGGGGAGUUCUUCUAUAUCUUGCAAUCAAAUUUCUCAAUACUGAGCACUUUCAAUUGAUAUGUUUAUCCCUGUUGAAAACUCAACCUAUUUGUCAUCAAUCACCAAAAAGGGGGAGAUUGUAAGUGCAUCUAGUGCCCCUUAGUGAUUUUGGUGUAUUGAAGACUUAUAUGUUAAGGGACUAAUAUGUUUGUGAGUGUACACAGGCUCUAUAAGUCGAUGAGGGGUUUGAUAUUUACGAUGAAAGUCGACCCCUAAAAAUGUAUGUCUUCAGCUGAAGACUUUGGUUCUCCUGAAGAUUUUGAAAGUGAAGAAAUUGGUGUGACCUUGAAGACUUGGAUAUUCAUGCGAGGAUUAUGAAGCGUGAAGACUUUUGUUUUCGUAGUUUCAUUUUCACUUUCUUGAGUCAUAGGAAAGACCGUACUGUUAAAGGAGGUCGAGGCAAAACUAAGGAAACUGAUUUCCAAGUGAUGCUCAUCUCAAAAUCCUACACCUACCCAAUCCUUUCGAGUGAAGCCAUUGGAAAUCUCAUAUCAGUUCAGUCAAUUUCUUCAGUGACAAAGAUGAAGAUCUUCUGGUCUCUAAGGAAUUUGUUCUGAUUGAGGAGUUAGGAAUUCACCAGUGUGGAUUGCCUACACAGUGAUGAACAUGAUAGCCCUGGGGAAUUCGAACCUUAAAUAUCCGACCGUUGCUGUGCUAUGCGCCAGCUAUCCAAAAUAUCUACCAACCUAAUGGUCAUAUCAUUGAAGGGCAUUUAUGUCUUAUCAUGUCGGGCUGUUACCUAGGCUAUAAAUAGCUACCCCCUACAACCACUAGCUAGUUGGCUGCUCCGCGAGAAACUGACACUUGUCAUUGAGAGCAUCCCAUCCUCCGAGGACUUUGAGCGAAAAUCAUCAAGUGAGGAAAACCCAGAACCCAAAACCAAACACCUACAAACCCAAAGUGAUUAAGCAUCAUUGAAGAGAUUGUUCCUGUGUGGAACCGACGGUUGUUACCUUUGAGGACUGUGUAUCCUCCAGACGGUUAGGCGUCAUGGUCUGAGCAUCCAAGAGGAAUUGUGGAUCAGCAAGUGACCUAGUUUGUGAAGGUUUGAAAGUCACCUGAAGACUUACCACGAGCGUUGGGCGAGGUCUGUGUGACUUUAGCUCAAGGAGAAUAUAGUGAGGACAGUGUCCGGGACUGUGUGUCCUUGAGUUUAAAUACUCAGCCGCUCCAACCAGACGUACAACUGUCACAACAGUUGGAAGUGGUCUACCAAAUCAUUGUCUUCACCAAGCCUAUUGGUUCUAUUUCCUCAACCCUUCCAUUUCCUCAUUCAUGUGUUGAUGAACUUGAUCAUUACUGUUUGAAGACUUUGACUGAAGAGUUUCUCUAUUUCCUUAAUCCAAUCUCUUCAGUCACAUAGUCUUCAUCCUGCUUAUCUUGUUUUCACGCUAUCUGUACUUUGUGCUUGUUUUCAUUUCAUCAUGAUGACUAUGUUGCCACUCUGUUAUGCUUAUACCUGAGUACUUAUUCCGCUGCUAGUGUGUCCUUGCUUAGGAAUUUCUUCACCUAGAAAUUCCUCAGUGACGAAUUUGUAAAAAUCGCCUAUUCACCACCCCUAGUGUCGAUAUAAUGCACUUUCAACAAGACUCUCUCUUUGUGUGGUGUGAAUAGUUUUACUUUUUUUCAUUUUUUUCAUUGAGGGAAGUGCAAAUUAAUUUGGUACGUACAAUAUUACACGUUAGGCUUGUCCCUAAAAUUCAACCCGCGCCUAGUUAUAUCAUGAAAAUUCAGAUAUCGUGCUCCCAAAACUCGCGCCUUCACAGCCCGCACCUUGCUAUCCCAAAAUUACAACGUGCGUGAAAACUCCCUCCAACCGCCAAAUCCUGACACGCGAAAUCCCCCUUCUAACCCUGAGCUGAAAGGGCUGCUAGUUCAAAUUGAUGGGGGUACUUUUGUAAUACACCCUACAUUUUGGACAAGCGCGUCCCUAAGUCAUGGUUCCCCCUCCCAUCGCCUCCUUUUCGCCAUUCGAAAUCCCAGGCCACCAUAACCUCUCUACUCCAGCCACGAAACCCGACCCUCCUCCAUUCACCACCUCACUGCUGCCCAGCUGAAGCCUCUUCCCUGACAACAUCGUCCGCCACACAACUCGACGUCCCUCAUCCACCUCCCCGGAUGGGGAUCCGCCAUCCAGCCGGUUCAGCCACCACGUCCUCCACCUUCAAGGAGCUGCUCCGAUGAUCGCCUUGUCUAUCACGGCUGCUCCAUCCCCACAGCUCUGCCUUAACCUGCUCCACCGGAACCGCAACAUCCUCACUGACUCCUCAGACGAAGUCGAGGCCUACUCGGUGCCACCAAAGAGGUUGUACACUCACCGCAUCGCACCUUCUCCUUAACUCGACCUCCCCGCACCGAUGGUGCUCCAUCUCGCACCCCCAUGGCGGGGCUACCUCGAAGCCGGCACCGUGGGCGACAUCUCCAUGGCGGCUCUACCCAGUGCAAGGCCCCUUGGGUGGUGGCGUCCAUACCAGCCGGAUCUGCUGCUACUGCUCCAGCUCUCGCUCGCUCGCUCGCGCUACUGCUGCUCUGGCCCUUGCUCACUCGCUCGCGCUACUGCUGCUGCUCCGGCUCCCGCUCGCUCGCGCUGCUACUCUACUCUCCCCCUCGCUCGUUCUACUGCUAUGCUCUUGCUCUCGUCGCGCUGCUGAUGCUGGUACAUGGGCUGCUGCAGCUACACAAGUUGCUGCUCUGGCUCUAGUUUGCGCUGCUCCUCCAGGCACUGCUGCUCCGGCUGCUAUUUGCUACUGUGUUCCCCGUCGAUCGCCUGCUGAUUUAGAUAAUUGUUCCUCUACUACUAGCGCUCGAGCGGCCUUAAACUACAUGUGAAGUGCCUCUCUGCAACUAGUGCGUUCAGUUUUGACAGUAACAUUUAGAUUCCAUAGUAAAUUUUAAUUUUGACAGUUAAGUCCAGUGUCAACAGUUUUUACCUCAUCUAUUGUAGUCAGGUGUUUUUUGGUGAUGUAAAUUUUACAUCUAUCACUUUUUGGUAAUGUAUUUUACAUCAUCUAUUGGAGAUGCUAUUAGUAUCCCACUUGAGAUUAAGGAUGUCUGUCUUGUACUGCUUCAGCCUCGACGUCUUACGGCUCGCCGCAGCUGCUCCAACAACGGAACCAUCCAUCACAACAGAGUAGUGCCCUGGACGCUGUCUACAGAUUCCUUAGAUCUUCCUCCACACCUUCGAUAGCCACCUCUGCCUCAACUUCUUCGGCGACCAACCCAAUGAUGUCGAGGUCGACACGGCUACGACAAAGAGGUCAUGCACUUGUCGCAUCACUUAUUACUCUACCUUCAUGUCCAUCCAUUAGGGCUAUUUUGGUUCAAAGGAAAAACUGAAGGAAAAAACAUAGCAAUAGAAAUUUUUCCUGUGGCACUCUAAUAUUCAAUUAUUCAUGCAUUUUUUGAAAGAAAUGGAGCAAAACAUCCAUCUGGACCUAAUUUUCAAAAUCCUAUGCAUGAAAACAAGAACUCUGCCUAUGUUGUCUCAACAUAGCCGGUCCCAAGCCCGGGUAAAGGAGGAGGGUUGUGAUAGGCUUGGCGAGCCAACGUAAAAACUCAGCCACUCUUAUGGAGAUGAAACCCAAAAGAUUUUCGUUGGGGCGUAACCCUCUCAGGGACGCGCCACAUCGGAACCCGGGUGUGGUGGAAAAUGGGCAAGGGCCGGGCCGUCACCCCCCAAGUGGCGCACCGUAUCUUGAUCCGGAUACGGUGGCAAGUGAGCGAGGAUCGGGUCGUCGCAUCCUUAGUGGCGCGCUACAUCGGCGCCCGGAUGUAGUGGAAAAUGAGCAAGGGUCUUCGCAUUUGACUCGACGAGUGCGAAGGGUAAGGAAGCUAGCCGAGCCUAGGAGGAUUCGCUUAGGUAGCUGGAACGUAGGGUCUCUAACAGGGAAGCUUCGGGAGCUAGUUGAUGCAGCAGUGAGGAGAGGUGUUGAUAUCCUUUGCGUCCAAGAAACCAAAUGGAGAGGACAGAAGGCGAAGGAGGUGGAGGAUACCGGCUUCAAGCUGUGGUACACGGGGAAUGGCGUAGGCAUCUUGAUCAACAAGAGCCUCAAGUAUGGAGUGGUAGACAUCAGGAGACGUGGGGACCGGAUUAUCCUGGUCAAGCUAGUAGCUGAGGACUUGGUUCUCAAUGUUAUCAGCGCAUAUGCCCCGCAAGUAGGCCACAAUGAGAACACCAAGAGGGAGUUCUGGGAAGGCUUGGAAGACAUGGUUAGGAGUGUACCGAUUGGUGAGAAGCUCUUCAUAGGAGGAGACCUCAAUGGCCACGUGGGUACAUCUAACACAGGUUUUGAAGGGGCGCAUGUGGGCUUUGGCUAUGGCAUCAGGAAUCAAGAAGGAGAAGAUGUCUUAAGCUUUGCUCUAGCCUACAACAUGAUUGUAUCUAACACCCUCUUUAGAAAGAGAGAAUCACAUCUGGUGACUUUUAGUAGUGGCCAACACUCUAGCCAGAUUGAUUUCAUCCUCUCGAGAAGAGAAGAUAGGCGUGCGUGCCUAGACUGUAAGGUGAUAUCUGGGGAGAGUGUUGUACCCCAGCAUAAGCUGGUGGUUGCUGACUUCCGCUUUCAGAUCGUGUCCAGCGGGAUAAGCGUGCCAAGGUUGCUAGAACGAAGUGGUGGAAGCUCAAGGGGGAGGUAGCUCAGGUGUUCAAGGAGAGGGUAUUUAAGGAGGGCCCUUGGGAGGAAGGAGGGGAUGCGGACAAUGUGUGGAUGAAUAUGGCGACUUGCAUUCGUAAGGUGGCCUUAGAGGAGUUUGGAGUGUCCAGGGGAAGGAGAAGCGAAGAUAAGGAUACCUGGUGGUGGAAUGAUGAUGUCCAGAAGGCGCUUAAAGAGAAGAAAGAUUGCUUCAGACGCCUAUACCUGGAUAGGAGUGCAGACAACAUAGAGAAGUACAAGAUGGCGAAGAAGGCCGCAAAGCGAGUUGUUGGUGAAGCAAGGGGUCGGGCAUAUGAGGACCUCUACCAACGGUUAGGCACGAAGGAAGGUGAAAGGGACAUCUAUAAGAUGGCUAAGAUCCGGGAGAGGAAGAAGAGGGAUAUUGGCCAAGUCAAAUGCAUCAAGGACGGAGCAGGCCAACUCUUGGUGAAGGACGAAGAGAUUAAGCAUAGAUGGCGGGAGUACUUCGACAAGCUGUUCAAUGGGGAGAAUGAGAGUUCUACCAUUGAACUGAAUGACUCCUUUGAUGAGACCAGCAUGCGUUUUGUGCGGCGCAUCCAGGAGUCUGAGGUGAAGGAGGCUUUAAAAAGGAUGAAAGGAGGCAAGGCGAUGGGCCCUGAUUGUAUCUCCAUUGAGGUGUGGAAAGGUCUCGGGGACAUAGCGAUAGUAUGGCUAACCAAGCUUUUCAACCUCAUUUUUCGGGCAAACAAGAUGCCAGAAGAAUGGAGACGGAGUAUAUUAGUACCAACCUUCAAGAACAAGGGGGAUGUUCAGAGUUGUACUAAUUACCGUGGAAUUAAGCUGAUGAGCCAUACAAUGAAGCUAUGGGAGAGAGUCAUUGAGCACCGCUUAAGAAGAAUGACAAGCGUGACCAAAAAUCAGUUUGGUUUCAUGCCUGGGAGGUCGACCAUGGAAGCCAUUUUCUUGGUACGACAACUUAUGGAGAGAUAUAGGGAGCAUAAGAAGGACUUGCAUAUGGUGUUCAUUGACUUGGAGAAGGCCUAUGAUAAGAUACCGCGGAAUGUCAUGUGGUGGGACUUGGAGAAACACAAAGUCCCAGCAAAGUACAUUACCCUCAUCAAGGACAUGUACAAUAAUGUUGUGACAAGUGUUCGAACAAGUGAUGUCGACACCGAUGACUUCCCGAUUAAGAUAGGACUGCAUCAGGGGUCAGCUUUGAGCCCUUAUCUUUUUGCAUUGGUGAUGGAUGAGGUCACAAGGGGUAUACAAGGAGAUAUCCCAUGGUGUAUGCUCUUUGCGGAUGAUGUGGUGCUAGUUGAUGAUAGUCGGACGGGGGUAAGUAGGAAGUUAGAGUUAUGGAGACAAACUUUGGAAUCGAAAGGGUUUAGGCUUAGUAGAACUAAAACCGAGUACAUGAUGUGCGGUUUCAGUACUACUAGCUGUGAGGAGGAGGAGGUUAGCCUUGAUGGCCAGGUGGUACCUCGGAAGGACACAUUUCGGUAUUUGGGGGCAAUGUUGCAGGAGAAUGGGGGUAUUGAUGAAGAUGUGAACCAUCGAAUCAAAGCCGGAUGGAUGAAGUGGAGCCAAGCUUCUGGCAUUCUCUGUGACAAGAGAGUGCCACAAAAGCUAAAAGGCAAGUUCUACAGGACGGCGGUUCGACCCGCAAUGUUGUAUGGCGCGGAGUGUUGGCCGACUAAAAGGCGACAUGUUCAACAGUUUGGUGUGGCAGAGAUGCGUAUGUUGAGAUGGAUGUGUGGCCACACGAGGAAGGAUCGAGUCCGGAAUGAUGAUAUACGAGAUAGAGUUGGGGAAGCACCAAUUGAGGAGAAGCUUGUCCAACAUCGUUUGAGAUGGUUUGGGCAUAUUCAGCGCAGGCCUCUAGAAGCUCCAGUGCCUAGCAGACGGCUAAAGCGUGCGGAGAAUGUCAAGAGAGGGCGGGGUCGACCGAUUUUGACAUGGGAGGAGUCCGUUAAGAGAGACCUGAAGGAUUGGAGUAUCGACAAAGAGCUAGCUAUGGACAGGGGUGCGUGGAAGCUUGCUAUCCAUGUGCCAGAGCCAUGAGUUGGUUGCGAGAUCUUAUGGGUUUCACCUCUAGCCUACCCCAACUUGUUUGGGACUAAAGGCUUUAUUGUUGUUGUUCUAUGCAUGAAAACAAGACCAAGUGCAUUAGUGGCAGAAUAACAUUCUAACUGUACACGCUUUCAUACGGUUUCAGUUUAAUUUGGCCAUGUUUCUAUGCAUUCCUCUGCUCUUCCAAUUCCUGUGAACCAAACACCCAAGUUGACAAAAAUCAUGUGUUUACAAAUGCUCUAUUACCCACGUGCAUUCCUAUCCUAUUCCGGUGUUUUUCCAAUCCCUGCAUUUUUAGAAUCCUGCAAGCCAAAGGAGCCCUAACAAAAUUACUUCAGUUACAAGUAGGUGUCGAAGAAAACUUUGUGUGGUUUGGCCUGCUCCUACCGCGAUGUCGUCCACCUCACCUGAGCUGCUCCAUCGACAGAAGCAUCCAGCAAACCAGACAUCAUGACUCCUGACCGUCUUUCGCCGCCUCAGAUCUCCUUCGCUGCCGCCGACUCCCACCACAACGGCAUCACCAUCAUUGACUCAGCAGAUGAACCUGAGGAGUACACGGGUCCACAAGAGAGGUCACACUGUUUUGUUUCUGCUUAUAUUAUGCAUUGCUUAAUAUUACCUGCUACUUUAUCAUCAUGUUCACCUCUUAGACUCCAAGUCAGGUCCAAAUUAAUAUUCAAACUUGAGUUUUAAAAUUAGUUGUGGGGUACAUAUCAGGGCAGCAAUGAAUAGUAUCUCUAUCUAUUAUCUGGCACAUAUCAAGUUAGCAAUGAAUAGUAUAUUGGCAUAUGUUGUUCAUCUUGGAUGGGAAAGAAAUAGUAAAGCAAUCAUCAUCUGUCUUUUUAUUAAAUUAAAGCUAUCAUCAGCCUGCUAUCAUUAUUUUUGGAUCCAUCCACUGGUUGUUACCAUCACUCUAGAUUUCUGCAUGCUCUCCUUACAUAAUCUCAUUAUAUUUUUUGUAUGCAUGUCAGAUAUUUUACACAGUUGUGCUGAACAUGUAGAGAAAAAGAGAAGAGUUUUGCGUGGCAAUACGAUGUCAUGCAAACAUCGCUCCAUGGUGGGUUCAAUGGCAAACCCUCCCCCCUCCCCAGAUUGUAAUCCAAAGGAAUAUAUCUAUUCUGAGGCAGAUUCAGACGUUGACCACUCCUAUUUAACCCCAAGGUGUUUGCUCUAACUUGGCAUGAUGAUGUGAGUCAUAUCAUGCAUACGUUGCCUUGCAGUGCCUACUUUCGACAUCAUGUAUGUCAUCUUCUUAGUUUAGAGAUGUUCUGUAAUGCCGCCUAUUUAGUUUCUAUAUCAUAUAUGGAAAUUAUGCAGUCUCAUCUCUUUUAUCCAGCCAUAAUAUAUGUGAAAAAUGCAAUGCCAUCAUGUUUAACCAAGCAUCAUAUAUUUGAAUGAUAUCUUGCCCAUCCUUUUCUUCAUUACAUUUCCAUUUUUCGACAAUAUUUGUACAUUAAACUACUCUUCCUGUGAAUCAGCCAUUUGAGUGAGUGAUGGGAAAAUCUGGAGUGCAAAGAAGGUCUUUAGAGCAGACAGUGCUACCCGUCGAAGCAGAUCUCUUGCUGGGUCCCGAUAGCUCCUCAGAGAUGGAUUCACAGAGAGAUGCCCAGUCCUUUUCUUUAUAUUAAUCUCCAUUAUCUUCCUCUGCCAACAAACUCUUUCUUUACAACUAACCCCUGUGUUCUGUCACUAUUUGCUGAGAGAAGUUCCUGUGUACCCGUGUGCUUGAUGAGUAUGAGAUCAUACUCAUUCUUGCUAUUGUUGUUGAUUUUGUAGAAGUAGCAAAUGAUGGAUGUGCUGAUGAGAAUGAUGAACAGUAGGAGUAGCUCUACGGGUUGGGAAUAAAUAAAGAAGUUGCUUGUAUCAUAACCUUUGUAAUAGCUAGUAAUGAAUAAAGUUGGCUCUUGUGCAUACUGGAAAAUAAUUUGUUUACUAGCCUAACAUGCUUAUAAAUUCGAGAUUUAUAAGCAUGUGGCGAUUGUCACGGCUAAGACUCACGCACUUUAACUGUCACGCCCCGAGACCGGGCCUAGGCGAGACAGCCGCCGCGCACCUAUAGACCAGAGGCCUAUAGUCACGCAAGGCAUGAUAAAGCAGGCAUAAACCAGAAGUGGAUCACAAAAGCUAAUAUAUUUACUAUACAAAUUCCUUGACAUCUACAAAUAGUUGAGUAAAGACAUCAUAUUCUCUAGUCGCUUCCCACCCGCUGGUUAAGCCUAGUCUUGGAUGAAGACAUCUUCUGAACAUACAUAAGUUGAACAUACUUAAGUUACCUCGUUCGCAUCUAAAAAAACAGAGGAAGCAAGGGUGAGUAUGACAAAUCAUACUCAGCAAGCAGAUACUUCACUAUUCAACAAGGAGCGAUGCUAUGAUGGUGUAGAUCAACAGACGAAAUGAACAAGGAAAUUAUUGGCAUCACACAUGACCGCAAGCUUCCCAACCCGGGAGUCACAGGGGUGAAAUUUCACACUUUUACGCUCUUAAGAGGGGUACUCCGACGUCGACAGUCUCGACUAGAACCACACAGGUUCCAGAAGAGCAGAGCUCUUUUACCCACUAAGACCCGGACACCUGGACCUACUGAUGUCGGUCGCUCCUGCGGAUCCAUCACCGACACGUUCCCGAACGAGGUCUGUCCUUAGCAGAGAACCCAGACAGUCCCAUACCUGAACUGUGACCAGUACAAUACGUUUGCCGUCGUGACACCAAUAUAGAUGGAUGUGUGUUUGAAUCAACAUUAGGACCACUGAAGUAUCGGUCAAAGACAAUACACUCAUGGCUUUUCAUGAGUUCCUCCAAAAUACUCUGGUUCCAUCAACAAAUGGAUUAUGAGGAAAACACAUCCCUCUUUCAAGGAUCAACAGAGGAUCAACAAAGAUCAAGGUGCAAUGAUAUUACCAGAUAAUCAAGCAAGACAACAACAAAGAGGGAUCAGGGAGUUUAGCAAAGCAGCUACUUGCCUCAGAUAAUAUGAUUUCUCCUUUAGAAUAAUAUUUUGCAAGAAGAUGAAACUCCAUCAUCUUUGUAUAAAAUCUGACGAACACACAUAUACUCAUAUUUCUUCUGAUGUAUGGCUCGGCUCUUCCCUCCAGCAGCACCUAAACGCUCUAUUCUUCUUCAAAUGUGGAUGCAUGCAUGAAUUCUUCAUCUCUCUUCUUUAUCUUUCUGGUGUCUUUCUUUCUCUCAGGCUCUCUCCUCCAGUGUCUAUGUCUUUCUCUCAGAGCUGUGCUUUGAGCAGCGUGACCCACAACUAUUUAUAGGAGGCGAGCGCCCGUGCAAGUCUAAAAUAU